RNAcentral lists this long non-coding RNA (71051 nucleotides) under Hordeum vulgare. Its description in RNAcentral is "long non-coding RNA (HVUL_LNC005643)". The record is from RNAcentral. Lineage: Eukaryota; Viridiplantae; Streptophyta; Magnoliopsida; Poales; Poaceae.
GCUUGUGGAUGAACCUUUAAUCUUUUGAAUGACCUCCCUCACUCUUUUUCUUUAUUACUUUUUUGACUUUUGUGAGAGAGGCAUAGAUAUUAACGAAUAUAGCUCUUCAUAAUGAUGAAAUUUGCAGGGUCAAUGACAACAAAGCGCUUUUGAGUCUUCUUUUAACUUGAUGAUUGUGCAUUUGUGCUUAUGGAAUAAUCAACUACUGUGGGAUAGUGAGAGAUGUGAUUAUAGGUAGGUGGUUAGGUAGGUAUGGUGUGAACACAUGGAAGAAAUGGUUUAUUUUCUGGGAUCUGUAUAUGUACACCAGCAGAGUUUCCUGAUGAAGGAAUGCAAUGACGAGUCUUGAAGAGGCUAGACAACAAAAGUUACGCAAAUGGAAUGACUGGAUUUCAAAGACUUCAGACUAGAGGAACAUCAAACUUAACAAUACGCACUAGAAAUUCAGAUUGCAAUAAUCAAAGGCUUACGAAAUAUGCUGUUUUUGGCAAUGGUGGGACAGAACAAAAUACUCGGGAUGAAGAAGAGAAUAAAAUCACCUUCACCAUACUAAAUUCAGGAGGUUCUAGGAAUAAAAAUUAGCAAGCUCAAGUCUUUUUUUGCUCAAUCAAUGUUCAUCAAUCACCUAGUAACAAGUGUUCUCUACCUUUACCACUAUAUGUAUCAGCUGAAAACUCUCUUGUGUAACUUAAUUCAGCAUGACAAUGCAUUCAGAGAUUAUGAGUGUGCUCAAAAGCUAGACUGCCAACUUAUCAAGAAAGCAGGAAGUUGUCUAACAUAGGUCUCAUGAGGCAAUAAGAGUUCGACAAUUGCACACUGAAUUCAAUCUACCAUAGCUAAACCCAUCACGAAUUUCAGCAGGGGUUUACUGACCUUUCCACAAAUCUGCUACUGCUGCAUUGUUCAAUUCCAAAGUUGUCCACGGACCACGUCUAUUCAGCAACCAAGAAGCUUAGUUCAGCCUAAAAAGUUCGGAACGUAAGACAAAUACACGAGUCCUUUUAGACUUUUGUAAGAGUGUGAAUAGACAAGGCAUACCAAUUAGUGAAAGCCCGAGAUCUCAAUGUGCUCCACGCAAGCACUCACAUGGUAAGAAAGGUAUUCUGGUAAAAUGUUCCUGUAAUUAACAAAAUUUCAUUUAGCAACAAAGCUUAUGACAAAUGCAGGUACACCUCCUAUCCUAUCAAUAUAGCAUCGAACUGAAGAAACUGCACACCUUAGUUUCAAUAGCAAAUCAGCAAAAUAUCAGUUAUUCCCMCAUUAUGAUCCUCACAGCUUAACAAGUACACCAGCAAGUUUUGGUGAAUGAUGACCAAUAUCUCGAAACCAACCAGAACAAGCAUAAGAAUAUCUGCACAACAAAUAAAAUUUUGAAUUCAUUAUAAAAUCGUUCAUGAAGGAAGAGAAGGAAAUUCUGAAUGGCAUCAGCUGAGGAUCAAGUUGAUUUUUUUUUUGAUAUUUCUCGGUUCAAAAAAAAAACAUCUAGGUAUCCGUAAUAUCGUUGAAGGAGUUGAGCAUGUACUUACCAGAUUUAUGUAUGAUGUGCAGUAAGAAGAUGCCACAAAAGAUCCCCAUGUGUGAACUUUGCAUAAACAGGGAGGACUCGACAAGGCUAAAAAAUGUACAACUCCUCAAAAGUCGCAAGAGAACCUGUAAAGUAGAUAGAAAAACAGUGUUAAGAUUUUGCAGUAAUGAGGUAAGCAGAUCCAAAAUAUGACUUCAUAUGCGAGAGCAUGAAAAAGCAAGGUAAUGUUGGGUAUUUGGAUGAGCAGACAGGGAAGUUUUUUUUUACCUUGGAUUGGUCUAGUGCUCUAGUAUGAUUUUCAGGAUAGUCCUGAUGAACUGUUGUCCUAGCUCCUCAAUGAUGCAACAUGGUGCUUAGUUGUCGCAAAUCAAUGCCGAAACAAACACUGAGAGCAUUGCUGCUGUACAAGCUAUCAAUGUUCCAUGGUAACAUUGUUUUCACCAUUCAAAUGGCCCUUUUUCAAAAUUGCACUGCUCUGAAACUGCUGCUCUCUGGAAAAUCCAUGCAGAUCCAGUGCUCCUCUGAAUUAAGACUGAAGAGAUUGUACGUACAAAUUUCAUGUUCAACCUUGCGUGACUGUCCGUCGACUUGAUGAAGAAAUGGGACUUCCUCUUCUCCCUUCACUUGUUUCCUUGACAAACACAAGGAAACCUGCAACAAAAAACAAAUGGUGAAUCUGAGGGAAAAAAGAACUAGUCCUGUGCUAUGCCAAACAGAAACAAGGCAGGUUUUGUGAAUAAUUAAAAUUUCGCAUUAUCUCUGGAGAGAUACAAAUAGAUACACUAUCCUUAGAUCAGGCUAACAAGGUUAAUUUUGCAUAGACGAAAGAAAAGAAGCUCACUUUUGUGUAUUUAACUAUUUAUUACCAUUAUGCUUAUGUAAAUUGGUUAGUACACCAAAUNNNNNNNNNNNNNNNNNNNNNNNNNNNNNNNNNNNNNNNNNNNNNNNNNNNNNNNNNNNNNNNNNNNNNNNNNNNNNNNNNNNNNNNNNNNNNNNNNNNNAUUCUACAAAAUUACCAAAUAGUAAAAAAAAGUUAUAGGUAAAAAAAAGAUUUUUUUCAAUAAAAUAAAAAUAAUAAUUUUAUUACUUAUUUUAUUAUCAAUAAAAAUUCAAUAUUAUUAUUACUUAGUUUGUUUAUUUUAAUGAUUAUUUGGAUUUCAAACAAUUUGUGACAUCAAGACCUAAGGGUUAAUAGGAUUGAUAGCUUACUAUUGUUAGCAAAACAACAAGUGGAGACUUGGAAGAUAGGGCGAUAGAACCAGGAAGUUAAGCGUGCUCAGGCUGUAGCAGGGCUACUACUAAAGUUUAGCUGUAGCGCGAUAGCAGUAGCGCUUGGCCCAACUAAGGCCCUUAGUAGUAGUAGCACUGCCCGUACCAGCGCUACUACUAAAGUUUAGCUGUAGCGCGAUAGCAGUAGCGCUUGGCCCAACUAAGGCCCUUCGGAGUGCUCCAUCUUGUACCGGUGCUAAGGAUGCCAUGUAGCCGAAAAAUCUGAUGUGUCACUAUAGUUAAGAGGAGAGAAAUGAGUUUGAUGACCCCAUAAAAAAACAAUGCCAAGCGUGGGAACCUAGGCACAAUUCUUAAAUGAAGGAAGCACGCGAAUGCAUGCACUAAUAUAGUUGCCAAAUCAUUUAAUAAAGUGAGCUUAGCUACAACAAGUUAAGCAUGUAUGCAUUGGAGGCUUUAGUUGCUAAAGUAUUUUAUGUGCUUAGCACCUCAUCUAAGCACUUGUGCAUUGGAACAAGCCUUAGGUAGAGAGAGGAAAGCAAUUAAAAGGGAGAGAGAGCAUUGUAGUGACUCAGGAAAAAGUGCCGCUAAACGCGUGAACCUAUGUAAAAUGAUUACCAAUCAAUGCAUGAAGAAGUUUAAUUAUUUAAUAAUUUUGUAAGGUAAGCUUAACAACAAAAGCUAAGAGCAUUUCCAGCCGUUUGGCCUCAGCGCACCCAACGAAGUGUGUUGGGCGUUUCUGUCGGCGCCUUUUUUGGCCUCGGGGGAUCAAGUUUCAAGCCACGCCCUCGGGUUUCGCCCCCUAACGCACAAAAAAUUCAAAGUUUUCUUUCCCGCUACAAAAAACAAACAAAUUAGGCGAUCAUCAUGCCACAGGUCGGCGAUCAUCAUGCCACAGGGUCAGUGAUCGAACAUAGCCAAAGUCCGGCGAUCAAAAGGGUAGGAACCAUAUAUGUAGAACUCAAAUGAAAGGAUCCUCCGCUGUAAGGCUAGGGGAGGUCGGCAUCGUCGUCGGCAUUGUGGGCACAACUUCAGUGCUCGGCGUCGUGGGCGUAGCGCUCGGCAUCGUCAAGCCCAGGGGCCUUGCCAUCGGCGUCCUCGGCUUCCUCUGCUUUGGCUGGGCGAAAUCGAUGGCUUGAUAAGGGGGCACAUACUUCUUCGGCGGCAUGACGGGCGGGUGUGGGCAGAAUGGCGGGAUUGGCGGGGGAGAAGAGCGUAGGUAAUGGGAAAAUGGAGGGAAAUGGGAAAACGGCGAGAAAAUUGGUCGGUAUCGCCGACAGAACGGGCCCACGUGCCUUUUCGCUUCAGCCAGUGCCCCUAGGAGACCCCCGGGGCAUUGGGUUCCGAUUGGGUUAGUCGGUUGUAAUUUCAGCCCAAACCGAUGAAAACCGAGGAUCUCGGGAUGCGACUGGGACUUUUUUCGGCACCGGUGCUACAAAAGGCGCCCUGGGUGGCUGUUGGGGUGCGGAUGGAGAUGCUCUAAGCACCCAAGUAUUGGGAAGACUAGUUGCUAAGAUUUUUAAUACAUUUAGCACCUUAUCUAAGCACUGAUGCAUUGGAAGAGGCAUCAAAUGCCCGCGAAUCACGACCGCGGAUUACGUCUAUGGGCACUGAUCGCUCAGUCUUAAAAUUUCGUCAUCCACAUCCGAAUACCUCAUACUAUAAAUCUUAAAUCCAUACAAAAGUAUGCAAACAUAAAAAUCCACGUACCACGUAGAUCAUCUAUCCUACUCCUCCUCGCAGAUGUCGAAUAUCUCCGUGCCCGGCUAUGGGUACAUGGGCGGUGAUACGUCUCCAACGUAUCGAUAAUUUAUGAAGUAUUCAUGCCAUGUUUGCCUAUGCUUACAAUACUUGUAUAUGGUUCUGUUGCACUUUAUAUGAUUUAUUUAGAACUAACCCGGACUGACGUUGUUUUUAACAGAACUACCGUGGUGUUGUUUUUUUGUGUAGAAAUAAAGGUUCUCGGAAUUCGACAAAACUUUUUGACUAUUUUUCUAGAAGAAAAGAGAAAUACUGGAGCAAAGAACCAUCAGAGAGGAGGCCCAGGCUGCCCACUAGGCACCAGGGCGCGCGAGCCCCCGUGGCGCACCCUGGUACCUAGUGGGUACCUCGUGGCCCAUCUUACAUGAUUCUAACGCCCACAAAUCCUAUAAAUAUAAAAACCUCCAGAAAUUACCCUAGACGAGAAGUUCCGCCACCGCAAGCCUCUGUAGCCACAAAAACCAAUGGGGAGCCCGUUCUGACACCCUGUCAGAGGGGGACAUCAUCUUCGGUGGCCAUCUUCAUCAUCCCGACGGAGGGCCUGACGAGGAGGGAGUUGUCCACCCUCGGGGCCGAGGGUCUGUACCAGUAGCUAUGUGUUUAAUCUCUCUCUCUCUCUCUCUCUCUCUCUCUCUCUCUCUCUCGUGUUCUUGAUAUGUCAUGGUAUUGAUAUAUCAUGGUCCUUGUUAAUAUAGUUGGAUCAUAUGGUGUUUGCCCCAUGCUAUUGUUGUGAUGAGUUGAAUCUUUAACUUUAAGAUCUCGUUAUGUUGGAUUGAAUAUUCAGGUUUGAGAGCACAUGAUAUAUGUCUUCCAUGCGGAUACCCGUAGUGACAUUGGGGUAUUCAAGUGAUUCACUUGAUAUAUAUUUUGGCACUCAACUCACGGAUACCCGAGGUGACAUUGGGAUAAUCUAUGCAUAGGGGUUGAUGCACGUUUUCAUACUAUGUUCUUCGAUAGAAAUCUUGGGGUGCUCCUUGAAGUUAUUUGUGUUGGAUUGAAUAUGAAGAACCUGAAAUUGUUGCAUGUCGUAUAAUUAGCCCACGGAUAUUUGAGGUGAAAUUGGAGUAUUUAGGUGACAUUAGAGUUGAUUGAUAUGCAUUGGUGUUAUUUUAGUACGAACUCUUGAAUAGAUCGAUCGGAAAGGAUAACUUUUUAUCUUAGUACGAACUCUUGGAAAGAUUGAUCGAUCGGAAAGGAUAACUUUUUAUCUUAGUACGAACUCUUGGAAAGAUUGAUCGGAAAGAAUAACUUUGAGGUGGUUUCGUACCCUACAAACAAGUUCUUCUUAUGUUCCCCACUAGGUAGGAAUUUUGGACUGAUUUUUUAUCUCACGUUGAGGGAUUGUUAUGUGAUCCAAUUAUAUUAGCAUUGUUGAGAGAUUUUACUAGCGAAAGUACGGACCCUAGGCCUCAUUUUCAAGCACUGCAAUAUCACUUGUGCUCACUUUUGUUACUUGCUACCUUGCUGGUUUUUAUUGUUCCUAUUACAAAAAUCAAUAUCUACUAUCAUUACUACACUUUUAUCACUAUUUCUUCACCGAACUAGUGCACCUAUAUAAUUUACAAUUGUAUUUGGUGUGUUGGGGACACAAGAGACUUUUUAUUAUUUGGUUGCAGGAUUGUUUGAGAGAGACCAUCUUCAUCCUACUCCUCCUACGGAUUGAUAAACCUUAGGUCAUCCACUUGAGGGAGAUUUGCUACUGUCAUACAAUACUCUGCGCUUGGAGGCCCAACAUGAGUCUACAAGAACAAGUUGUGUAGUAGACAUGAGGCGACAACUGCAACUCAUGCUCCGGCAGCUCCUCCGGCUUCUCUACAUCGUCCUCCGAUUCAAGUUCAGUGAAAAGAGCAUCGAUCACCGCCAGCUUCUGCCGAAUGAAGCGUCGGUUGGCCUCCAUAUAGGCAUCAUACUGGAUGGACUCCAGCUCCGCCAUCUCCUCCGCUUGAGCGACGAUGAACUCCGCCUGCACGUGCUCAAUGUUGAAGCCCGGAGCCGAUGCCACCUCCUGCUCNNNNNNNNNNNNNNNNNNNNNNNNNNNNNNNNNNNNNNNNNNNNNNNNNNNNNNNNNNNNNNNNNNNNNNNNNNNNNNNNNNNNNNNNNNNNNNNNNNNNUUUUAAAGAACGUUCGUCAAAUUUAAGAAAGGUUCAACGAUUUUGAUACAAAGUUCAGUGAUUUUGAAAAACGUUCAUCGAAUUUGAGAAGGGAUCAUCAAUUUUGAUAAAAAAGUUUAGCUGUUUUGAAAAUCGUUUAUUGAAUUURRAAAAAAAAGCUAAUCAAUUUUUWAAACAAAAAAUCAUCAAAUAUGAAAAAAAGUUCAUAAAAUUUAAAAGAUGUUCAUAAAAUUUGAAAGAAAAGUUCAUCGAAUAUGAAAAAAAGUUUUUCAAAAUUGAAAAAAGUUCAUCAAAAUUGAAAAAAAGUUCAUAGAAUUUGAAAAGAAGUUUCUUUGAUUUGAAGAAAAUUAAUUCAAGAAUUUGAAAGAAAAUCAUCGAGCGAGGAAGAAAAGAUGAAAAAGAAAAGAAUAAACAGAACGUAAAAUGCAAAAAAAGGAAAAAAAGAAAAAAAGAAGAAGGAAAGAGAAAAUAAGAAAAGAGGCAACGAGAUGCAAACUCACAUAUCAUAUCAAGGAAGGUGGUGUGGUGCCGCGGUGGUUACCCCAAUGUAGAUUGAUGGGUAUCUUGCUAAUUCGAUCCCCUGCGGCGGUGUCAUUUUUGUUUUACAAAGAAAGCGGAGAUGGGUCGGCCCAGCCGCCCCGUUGGAGGUAUCUAGGGUUUUACGUCGAUCCUAACAUCGAUAUUGAAGAGAAUGCGUGCAAUUUAUAGUUGAGAGGCAGUCGCGUCAACACACCAGGUGUCUUGAACACAUAACACUAAAAUACACGAUAUACCCAGCUUCAUGACCAAGUAAUGUGUUGCUCUUUUCUUUAUAUGUAGAAAAUAUAUAGGAAUAUAUAGGAUUACCAUGCAUAGAGAGGAACCCGACUAGUUCGAGGAAUCUCAAUGAGUUUAUGAUGAUGGUGGUGAUCUCGGCCAAGAACGUUGAAAAUAGCAUACACAUUAUGGGCUCUUUGUAAGGCAAGGGAUACGGUCCCCCUCUACGGUGCCCUUGUUGCCCCCUCCAUAACCAGACCUUUCAAAGCCGUCUCGAACGCCCAGAUAGCCUUACCAGUCAUAGAAAAGCGACCUAGACGGGCGCCCUAAAUGCGCCUCAAAUGGCCGGGCUGACCGUCACCCCUCAUAUUCAGCCCAAAUAUUAGUCGGAUAUGGGGGUGCUCGCGCGUCCGCUAUGACGGUCUGGUGGCAUGGACCCAUGGGUAAUCACCCGGAAAUCUGGCGGUACGACGGACGCCUCCUCAGGUGAGGUGCGUGACGCCGGUCCGGCUCAUCGUCCCAGGCAAAUUCGGCUAUUUUAGUUGACUAGCUCCCCCUGACCCUAUCCCACACACCUCCUUCCUAUCUGCGUCGCCAGCCCGAGCCCAUUCAUCUCCUCUCUCUCGCUCUGGUGCUCUUCCCACACUCUUCGGUGGUGCCAUGGUCCGAGCAAAGAUCACCACCUACACCAUGCUCAUGACGGAGCGCCGAUACCAAAUAAAGCAGAAGAUUUGGGCGAGGCACGCCGCUCGCAUUGCUUUCGGGCUGCCAUUGAACUUGUCGGAGACGGAGAAGAGAAGGAGGAGGCGCAGGCGAAGGAGGGGAGAGUAUAUGUUGCCCGCUCCGGUGAAGGAGGAGUAGGCGAACGGGAAGGAGGGAGAGGAGUUGCAGCCCGCUUCGAUGGAGGCAGAGCUGUCGGAGCAGGAGGUGGCANNNNNNNNNNNNNNNNNNNNNNNNNNNNNNNNNNNNNNNNNNNNNNNNNNNNNNNNNNNNNNNNNNNNNNNNNNNNNNNNNNNNNNNNNNNNNNNNNNNNAAAAUUUUAUUUGUUGUGCAGAUAUUCUUAUGCUUGUUCUGGUUGGUUUCGAGAUAUUGGUCAUCAUUCACCAAAACUUGCUGGUGUACUUGUUAAGCUGUGAGGAUCAUAAUGUGGGAAUAACUGAUAUUUUGCUGAUUUGCUAUUGAAACUAAGGUGUGCAGUUUCUUCAGUUCGAUGCUAUAUUGAUAGGAUAGGAGGUGUACCUGCAUUUUUCAUAAGCUUUGGUGCUAAAUGAAAUUUUGUUAAUUACAGGAACUUUUUACAAGAAUACCUUUCUUACCAUGUCAGUGCUUGCGUCGAGCAGAUUGAGAUCUCGGGCUUUCACUAAAUGGUAUGCCUUGUCUAUUCACACUCUUACAGAAGUAUAAAAGGACUCGUGUAUUUGUCUUACGUUCCGAACUUUUUAGGCUGAACUAAGCUUCUUGGUUGCUGAAUAGACGUGGUCCGUGGACAACUUUGGAAUUGAACAAUGCAGCAGUAGCAGAUUUGUGGAAAGGUCAGUAAACCCCUGCUGAAAUUCGUGAUGGGUUUAGCUAUGUAGAUUGAAUUCAGUGUGCAAUUUUCGAACUCUUAUUGCCACAUGAGACCUAUGUUAGAGAACUUCCUGCUUUCUUGAUAAGUUGGCAGUCUAGCUUUUGAGCACACUCAUAAUCUCUGAAUGCAUUGUCAUGCUGAAUUAAGUUACACAAGAGAGUUUUCAGCUGAUACAUAUAGUGGUAAAGGUAGAGAACACUUGUUACUAGAUGAUUGAUGAACAUUGAUUGAGCAAAAAAAGACUUGAGCUUGCUAAUUUUUAUUCCUAGAACCUCCUGAAUUUAGUAUGGUGAAGGUGAUUUUAUUCUCUUCUUCAUCCCGAGUAUUUUGUUCUGUCCCACCAUUGCCAAAAACAGCAUAUUUCGUAAGUCUUUGAUUAUUGCAAUCUGAAUUUCUAGUGCGUAUUGUUAAGUUUGAUGUUCCUCUAGUCUGAAGUCUUUGAAAUCCAGUCAUUCCAUUUGCGUAACUUUUGUUGUCUAGCCUCUUCAACACUCGUCAUUGCAUUCCUUCAUCAGGAAACUCUGCUGGUGUACAUAUACAGAUCCCAGAAAAUAAACCAUUUCUUCCAUGUGUUCACACCAUACCUACCUAACCACCUACCUAUAAUCACAUCUCUCACUAUCCCACAGUAGUUGGUUAUUCCAUAAGCACAAAUGCACAAUCAUCAAGUUAAAAGAAGACUCAAAAGCGCUUUGUUGUCAUUGACCCUGCAAAUUUCAUCAUUAUGAAGAGCUAUAUUCGUUAAUAUCUAUGCCUCUCUCACAAAAGUCAAAAAAGUAAUAAAGAAAAAGAGUGAGGGAGGUCAUUCAAAAGAUUAAAGGUUCAUCCACAAGCAGGAAGAAAUAGUCAGCAGUCCUUCCAUAUUCAUGUGCAGAAUGCAAAAUGGCUAAUCAAACUACUAUAUACCUAUGCAAUAUUGACAGCUGGAGUAUGAGUCGCAUCCUGAGACCACCUUGCAUUGCAUAGGCAUCUCAAUCAUUUCUUUGGCGUGAGUCCAUCCCUCCCACAUCCCCUGGACACUACCUUUCCCCAAUGACUGGAAUGUGAAGAUUUCUCUGUACUGGAGUUGAACUCUUAUUUAGCUUUGCAAUCUUGAUUUUAGAUUUGCUCGUUCUUUCAAUUACCCUACCAAGAUCCAGAUAAGCUUCCACAAAUAUAUUGUAGAUAGGAAAACACUUUGGCCACUGGCCAGUGAGGAUUACAAUUAUGUGAUGAGAGUAAUUUCGGAUCAUGAUGAGGUAAUCUCACUAGAUACCUGCUCUUGGAAGGUUCGCAAAGAAAUAAAAUUGUUGGCUACUCCUGUUUCCAUUUGUUCUUGACAUUGAAGUCAAACAACCAAGUGAUUAGUGUUCAAUAACUGUUAUAGCUAUAUUGUUGAUGCUGGUUACUCUCAAAAAAUAAAAUCCAUUCCCUACUGGCAAUGAAUAAGAGUAGUUAUUUAAGUGUGUGCUCAAUCGUUAGCUUGCUACUUUGACAAGUUUGUGGGAAGUGCCUCUGUCCGAAGCUCAUGAGGAUUAUAGUAACUGUUUGCACAUGAGCACUUGUUUCCAAUCUAGCUAUGCUAAGCUUUCAGGUUUUUCACAAGCACAUGGGCAAGUUGAAUCAGGAGCCUAAAUCAUCUGGCCACGAUCUGAGACACUUUUUCUCGAGUGAAGAAUCAGAAAGGGAGAAGCCUGAGACAAAUCGUACCUUUUGUUUCUCUUUGUAGCCACUUUCUCCCUGAUAAUGCUAUAAGGAAGAGAGAAUGGUUUUUUCACACCUAGUACUAUUUUCCUUGUAGCUUCAACCUUUAGCAGGUUUUGAUGAGUGGUACGAAAACAGGGCAAAAAACUUCAUUUGUUUUCUCGGUGUGGACAAUGUAUAUCCAGUGAAAUGAAAUUCAGUUCUUUGUAAUAGUAUCUUCAUAUCUGAACCUAUGCUUGGGUGUCACUUUUGGUUGCCUGUGCUAAAGCAUAGUUAAAUAAAGGCACUGCAAUGGUUCACUGCAGGAUCUUCCUGGUUGCCUUUUAAUACCCAAUUGGCAAUUUGAAGCAAUCAUUGUGGCCAUGUUGUUUUUCUUUUAUGAGGAAAACAAAUGAUGUGAUUUAUGUUUACACAGGGGUUUUGCUAUAUGCACAGGCAGAUAGGCGACUCGGGCGACCNNNNNNNNNNNNNNNNNNNNNNNNNNNNNNNNNNNNNNNNNNNNNNNNNNNNNNNNNNNNNNNNNNNNNNNNNNNNNNNNNNNNNNNNNNNNNNNNNNNNCAGGAGUGGAAAGGGGACUUGGGCCUUGGCAGGCCUCCUCUCUCCCUCAACUGACUUUUAAAAAAACAGAAACAACCACAAAGAAAGGUUUAACAAAAUAAAAAAAUGCCUUUGACUCCUUUAAAAAUAUACCCCAACUAUAAAAAUAGCUUGGGCAUCUUUUAACGAAUAAAAUUGAAACCUUUUGAAGAAUAAAACAAAACCCCUUCUAUAAAUAAAAUGAGUCUCUAGUUUUAAGAAUAAACAAAAGGAAAAAAAUAAAGGAAACCCAAGGGCUUGCCCCCCACAUUUAACAAAAAGACUUUUAAAAGAAGACGAAUCUUUUGAGGGGGUUAAAAUUAAAAUCAAUCGCAGCCACAAAAAUAGAAUAGAGAGGAGAGAAGGGUUUUACGUCCUCGGUGCAACAGGGUUUUGAAGUGGCUCUGUUGCACCCACUCUCAUCACUCCAACAAAACAACGCCACUCACAAGCAUUAACACCCAACAACACGGAGCAACAAGCAACACCGACAAAACACAGUUGACAUGAUGCCAUGCAUGAUGCCAUGAUGCGCAAGAUGAAUGCAACAAACAAAACAACCACACGACGGAAACGGAAAUAAAGGGGAAUCUUCUGGAACGUCGGCAUCGGGCUGUCACAACUCUCCUACAUUACAAGAGGAUCUUGCCCCGAGAUCCAAGAAUGAAAGGGGGGNNNNNNNNNNNNNNNNNNNNNNNNNNNNNNNNNNNNNNNNNNNNNNNNNNNNNNNNNNNNNNNNNNNNNNNNNNNNNNNNNNNNNNNNNNNNNNNNNNNNCUCCUCCCCGGUGCGCCUUGGUUAGCCCUCCAGGACCCCGGCCUCCUCCUGCCGAUGCCUUGCUGCCGUGCCUUGCUGCCAUGUUGCUUGUGCUGCUUGCGCUAGCCAUGUCGUGCCAUGCUUGUUGUUUGCCUGCAUGUCGCUGCUGCCGUUUGCUGCUACUGGCAGUUGUUUGGAGAUGCUCUUGCUGCUGUGGCCAGAUGCUGUUGCCAUGUGCCGCUGCCUAUGCCGAGCCCGAUGUGUGCCUGUCUCUGUUGCCUGCGCUUGCCGUUGUCGGCUGAUGCAUGUUGCUGAUGUGUUUGCCUGCUACGAGCUGCUGCUAUUGCUGUCGCCGAUGUGCUGUUGCUGCCUGCCUGCUUGCUAUGCUGUAGCUGCUGUUGUAGCUCGCCGCCGCUGCUUGCCGUAUUGCUAGUUGUUGCUUGCUUUGCUGCUAGCCGAGGCUAGAUGAUGCUAGCUUGCUUGUUGCCGGCUGCUGCUGUAGUAAGCUAGGUAGUUGAUAGUUGCUAGCUGCAGUUGUUGCUUGCUGCUGCUUGCCUGCGUAGCUAGUUGCUAGCUGUUUGCUGCUAGGCUAGUAGCUGCUGCCGAUGCCGAUGCUUGCUAAUAGAUGUUGCUUGCUUGUGAUGCCGCUUGCCGUCGCCGCUUCGACCAUCCCCGACGCUGUGGAAUCAACAAGUUCACUAGUAGCACGACGUCCCCGACGACCCCCGGACAUCUACGAAACCGUGUACGACUACCGACGCCGAAGACCCGUGUACCGACGCCAAGAGUACGACCACCGCCGACAAGACCGCCGUGCACGACUACUUCCACUACGACCACGACUUCCACUAUGACCACGACGAUCUUUGUUCUCCUUCACCGAACCGAACCGCUCCGAUAUGCACGCUUUGAAGGUAUACCGUUGGGACGUGUCGUGUACCGAAUGCAAAUGUUGUAUGAGAUAUAUCGUAUGUUUGCGCCGUAUGUUUGCCCGUUGCACGUUGCCUCUCUUUCGUCGCGCCUUCGACACAUGGGAACACGGUAGCGGGAUCACUCCAUCUUUAUCUAGCGUUCCCGCACACGCUUCCUAUACGUUGGCACGAUAUCUCGACGAGUUAUCGGGAUAGGAAUGUUGUCGUGGCAUCGUUUCCGUUUUGCCGCCAUAGUUCCCUCUCGCUCGCCGUGGCGACACUUGUUUCUUUCUCUUCUUGCCCGUGAUGUUUGAACUUUUGGAUGACGCAUUCAUGGCAUGAUACCUUGUGUUGCAUGUCUCUUGUACGUAGCUCCGUUCUAUGUUUUGCGUGUUAACCAACUAGGAUGACAGGUAGAAUCAUCGCUUCACCCCUUGCCAUGUUAACAACAUUAAAUAUUGCCAUGUAAAUUAACGGGAGUGAACUAAAUAUUUAAUCGUGGAGUUUCGUCGAUAUGCAACUCGUUGCAUAUCGAGCUUCACUUAAUGUGUAGUGUUUGCGUGAGGUGAAUUGCCAUGUCAUGCCUUGCAUCUUUGAACUAAUCAUGCAUCAUAGUAGAUUGUGCAUCAUGUUGUGCAUCGUGUGGUGAAUAUCUGUGUUGAUGUUUGUUUCCUGUUUGCUCCGUCUCGAUAGAGUUCCGCAAGCGUGUCGGAAUGUGAGGACCCGUUCGACUACGUUGGUUCGUCGACUUCACGGAUUUGUUCUUCUUCCAAGCGGGAUAUCAGGCAAGAUGACCAUUUCCCCAGAUACCAUUACUAUCAUUGCCAUGCUAGUUUUACCGUUUCUAUCGAUUAUGUCUCGUUGCCUACCACAUGUUAAAUAGCAGCCUCUCAACAAUUGCAUGAUAACCUUCACCCUGUUCGACCUAGCAAACCACUGAUUGGCUAUGUUACUGCUUGCUUAACCAUGGUGUUAGCAUUGCUAGAUGCAGGUGCCGUUGCUUCCAUGUGAUAACAUGGGUUCCUUGUUGUAUCACUAUGUUAAAUGCUAUUUAAUUUAAUGCACCUAUAUACUUGGUAAAAGGUGGAAGGCUCGGCCUUUCUAGCCUGCUGUUUUGUUCCACCUUUGCCCCUUAGUUUCGGCUACCGGUGUUAUGUUUCAUAUUUGAGCGCUCCUAACACGAUCGGGGUUGUUAUGGGGACCCCCUUGAUAAUUCGUUUUAGAUUAAAGCUGGUCUGGCAAGGCCCAACUUUGGUACUACAUUUGCCUAAUAACUAAUGAACUGCAUAGGGAGUAAUUAACCCGAGGAAAUUUAAUCAACCCCCGGGCCAGUGCUCCUCAUGAGUGUUAGUCCAAAAUGGACAGACUGCGGGGCCACCACGGGGCAACUCGAGGUUUGGUACCUGUAGGCUUUUCCAUCCGCCGUGUCCUGAGAACGAGAUACGUGCCUCCUAUCGGGAUCGUCGACACGUGGGCGGCCUUGUUGGAUUAGUUUUACCUUUGACGGAAUAUCUUGUGCAUCGGGAUCCCGGUGAUGCUUUGGGUAAUCUCAGAGUUGAGGUUUUCCACUAGGGAAUCCGAUGAGAUCGCGAGUUUUGUGAUUGAGGAUUUCUAUGCGGCUUGUGGUAAUUUGUGAUGGACUAGUUGGGGCACCCCUGUAGGGUUAAAUCUUUUCGGAAAGCCGUGCCCGCGGUUAUGUGGCAACGUGGAAACUUUGUUUAACACUGGUUUUAGCUUGUGGCGAGUGUAAGCCAAUUCUGUAUAUAUCUCUUCUUUUCAGUACAUGUACUUGUAACGAUAUCCAUUCUUGCGACACAACGAGAUGCGCUUCUAUCCCUGACAAGGCUCUCGUGCCAAAUUGAGGAUAUGGUCGCAUCUUGGGCGUGACACAACAUCCACGUCAACACCAUCACAACAGCGAGGCAGUUGAGUUGCGCUACACCCAGACACAUCAGCCUGCUAUCCGCCGUGACGUUCGGGUCGACCAGGGGGCGACGGAGCGGUGGCGUGGAUGGCAGCCGGCGGGCGGCAUGGGGGCGACGGAACGACGGCGUGAGGGCCGACAGCGCGACGGGGCGGCGUGGGGCUGUCUCUUAUANUCUAAGAAGGGACGUUAGAGAAGCUACAUUACCCUAACUUGCCUUCUUUCAAUCUAUAUGAUUAUGGCUAAAAUGAUUUAAAUUAGUUUGCAAAUUACAGAUCUACUAUGUACAUUUAUAGUAAUUACAUACAAACAAACUAAUGGUGAAAUAAAAUUAAUUUUAAAUUAUUUAUAUCUGCAGUAAAUAUCAACGGUAAAUAACAUACUAGUAGUCCCUAACUUUCCUUCUGCAUUUUACAUUAGGUUAGCACUGUAGCACGGUGACAUCCCCUAAAAAAAACACGAUGGAGGAAGGCGAAACAAGGCGGCCGGCCAUGGCUUCGCCGGAGUUCGUUGCCGGCGGCGGUAGGCGACUCACGCCUCCCCUCGCUCUCCGCGGAGCACGGCGACGGCACGGCGUCCGACCCGAGUCCGUAAGCGCAUCUUCUUCCAAACCCUUGUUUCUCCCUGGCUGGUCCGGUUGGGUCUAUGGAUCCGAUGCGCGUGCGCGGCGUCGGGAAGGGAGGAUCGAGGAGGGGGUCCUCCCCGAUUAGAGCCCCCUGGCUGGUGUUGUGAGUUCUAGUGUUCUCCUGCAACAUUUGGGAAGGUUUCGUCUUUAUACUAGUAUAUGAGUUUUGUCAGGCUUUUUUUUUAUGUAAAGGGGUUUCUAUGAAUGCGUGUUAAUCAUGCUGGCUGCUUGUUAAUUACGCUUGUUAUAAAGAGUAAUUAGAGUUGACAACACCGAAAUUGGUGCUCUGUUUCAAUUUCGAGGCCUCCUUCCUCACUUGCCUCAUUAUAUAGCCCUGUUUCUGAAUUUUUCUGUUUUAUAACAGACCAAAAGGACUUGAUGUGUUUUGAUUCAUUUGUCAGAAGUAACCUCGCGUGACAUGUUAUAUCAGUUUAUGACAUACACAGCCACUGGGUUCUGGUCUGAAUCGCUUGCUUGCACGGCAGAACCACCUACACCUAUGCUUGGUGUGAAAUCAACCCAUAUAUGCAUCCUGUGUCUAUGCUAUUCUGCCACCAGCACCAGUUGUAUUUAGGAUACAGCAGUUGGCACGAGAUCUGAAGCGGCGUUCUUGGUUUUGCCGUAGGUGCAGUGCAUUGAAGCCGCGAUUGCUGUAGUGAGCUCGUUCCGCCCAUUGCUUGGAGCGUUGGUUCAUCACGUGCUGCUGCUCACAUUCAAAUCUACCAACUCGUCCAUGGCUCCAUCCUUAACUGGGGCUCGGUCUUCUCGCACUCGAGUCAACCCCUCUGUAAUUGCACCAUCACCGCGAAGACCGCGAUACCACCGGCCGACCAGCUUGAGAUCUGAAGGACGAGCUUCGCGCCACCUGAUCUGAACGCUUGCCUGGCAACUACAUUAGUUUAGCUAAUCAGAUCCAUUGAGGGCAGCCACGCCUACUAUUUUUUUCAUAGUUUUAAAUAGCUGGCUAUAGCUUUUUCAGCAGGUGCCGUUAAAUGGUAUCAUGUACAAAUAGACCGCUAUAGCUGAUUUAGAGGCCCACCGCUAUGACCCGCUAUAGCUGAUUUAGAUGCCCGCCGCUAUUUGCCAUAAGACGCUAUUUAAAACAUUGAUUUUUUUACUUAGACAAACUUGAGUGACCACAUUAGUUUUGCCCAAGCCAAAUUCAGUAACACAAUCAGCGAUUCUUAAAAACAGAAGUAAUACAAGCAGCGGUUUCCAAUGGCCACAGGAAUCGACCAUGUCCACAAGAUGGGCAGGCAGGGCUGCGGCACAUGGGUUCAAUUAUUCGCAGUGUAGCCAGCUGGGAGUCUCCGUCUCCAAAACCCAGCAACCACAUUGCUUCCCAAUGGCACCUAAAAUUAUGAGAUCCAACACCAGAUCUGAAGCCAGGUCAAGAUUUUAAUUUCACGCCACCGAGCACUUAAUUAGUUGGCAGUGAUUCUUUUUGUUCGAUCCCAUCCGUGGGGUUGACUUAACAUUUUUUUACCAGUACGGUUGCAUUAUUCAAUAGGACUAUAUGGGAGUGACUUGACAUUUUGUUUACCAGUUUACUUGAAGGACGUAAUAUUUCAUAUUUCCAUGUCACCGUUCUAGUGCCAUGAUUGUAAGCCACAACUAUCUACCGGUAAACCAAGUUAGCUGGCAGGGUGAGACUAUGUCGGCAUAGUAUCCCUCCAAUCUCUACUUCCCAUGGUGGCAUCUUCGAUAGGGAGGUGGAUUUUCGUCCCUAGUUCUGUUCCUGGGCCUGGAUGGGGAUAUUCGGUGUUCCUGGCUGCCGUCUUUCCCUGUAUUCUGUGCUUUGCUUUAUUGAUGCAUGUUGUUUUCCAUUGCUUCCUUUUUGUUUCCACAAGGCAUUCUUCUGUUAGGUUCUACUAUUCAUCGGAAUAACGGAACAGAACACCGUUUGGUCUAAAAUCCAUGGUUUGAGCUUCCUGUUGUCUCCUGUUCGUUGUCUUGUACCUUCCUCUGAGAGUCAACUCUGCCAUUGCCAACCACGAGAUGAGUAAAGUAACCAGGCAGGGAAGGGAGACUCCAAAGUCUGGCGUCAUUGUUUAUAAUUCGCUGAUGCUAACCACGUUCAUUCACAUGCAUCAUCGCCGUGAAGAUAUGUGAGAUCUGAAGCUUACUUAGUCGCCUCACAAGAUGCUUAGAAGGCUUCGCUAAUUUAAGUCCCAUUAUUUCCGUUGUUGACAUUGCCGCACUUAUAGCUGCCGAUCAUCUCUCUGUAAUCUUAAGAGAAAAAUACUCGUAUCUGUACAUAUCAUCCCUCGUACUAUUUAUCACCAGCUCUACUUUUUUGAAUUAGUCCCAGUGGUGGUUUAAUCUCUUGAGAUUUCACUCACUGUCAAACUUUGGGUGUACAUCUACCAUUGCUUUUAGCAUCAAUUGACAAUGGGAGCAUAAACAUAGCAACUGGACUAAAGUAACACUAACACUUCGGCACUGCCCGUUGGAACUGGAAUGCUCACAUGCCUUCUCCGUUCAGACCGGGAAGGAAUCCCAGAAAAACAAGGCCUUACCACGAGAUGAGUGAAGUAAGCGGCUCAAGACUGAAUGGGGGACUUGGUGCAAGAUUUGAAGGUGAGUUUUCGUUUUCUAUUUCGCGGCACCGGGUUCUUAAUUAGCUGACAACUUUUGUAAUGUUAAGUUCCAUCCAUAUCCGCUGGGGACAUUGCACACUUGCAGCCGCUAGUCAACACUUCUAGUACUCACCAUCAACUCCCCUCACACAUCUGCCAUUGAUCCAUCCUUAGCUGUGCUUCCCAGCUCUAUCUUUUCUUUUUUCGAGAUGAACACCUGCUCUCUCAGAAUCUGUCCCAACUGGUGGUUUUACUCAGUCCAAACUCGGGUGUACACAUGCCAUCACCUUCAGCAACAAUUGACAACAGAAGCAUGACAGUAGUAAUUGAAUCAAAGUAAAGACUCACUUUGCUUUUGCUCUAGGCUGUCAUACAUGUAAAUGAAGUCCCAUAAAUAGUCGCACAAACCAUCAUCUACCGAGGAACAUCAUUGCUAAUACGUCGCCAGUACAAGGUUCCAUGUUGUUUAGCGAACUUGGCUGACGAACACGUCUUCUCCAGGCUACGCCAUGCAUGGGGCCAGUAAUGCAAGCAACUCAACAAAUUAACUUCCAGCGCUCCCUUUUUUUUGGAAAUAGCAGUACUCUGUUGUUGAUGCAUGUAGCAGCGCCAGCCAUGGGACCCUAGCCUGUGAUUAGUUACUUGGGCCCUGUUUGUUUCAGAAGUCCCGAGACUUUUUUUAGUCCCAACUUAAAAGUCCCUAGUCCCUACCGUUUGUUUUCAGGAACUAAAUAGGGACUAGAGGUCAUUAAAUGACAUGCAAAAAGACCAUGUUACCCUUAGUAAUGUAGUAGUAGUUAUUAAAUGACAUGCUAAAAGUAAGGGCAUUGUUGGAAAAAGUGCCAAAAAAGUCCAAAAAGACCCUCCCAUAGGAGCUUCUCCAAAUAGUCCCAAAUACCCCCUUUUAGUCCCUAAAAGUUCCUCCUGUUUGUUUCACAUGGGACUUUUUGGGAUUUUUUUUAGUCCCUACACCAAAAAGUUCCUGGAAACAAACACCCCCUUACUUCCCAUGAUCCCCAUUGGCACUAAAACCAGGAAACCCAACGCGAUCUGAACCCAAGUCUCGAUUUAAUUUCGCACCACCGAGUGAUUAGUUAAUUGGCAACGAUUAUUUUAGUUGAUCCCACUCAUCGAAAUGACUUGACUUGACUUGACUUGACGCACUCAUGUCCUUAUAUCUCCCCUCCUCCUGCAUGUAUCUCCCAUCCUACACAUCACACUGCAGUUUGCACAUCAAAACCCUCUCUGGCAUUGCUCCCUCCGUUGCAUCACAUCGCCUGCCUUCACGGCAAGGGAGUUCAUACUUCAUACCGGUGAGUAAAUUGUUCUUCCUAAUUACUCUAGCAGCAGCAUGUGAUAUAUCAGCAUAACUUGGGACUAACUGCUUGUGCUAAUGGUUUGCAGCGUGACAACCGAUGGACGUUGCCGUCAGUGCGGCAUGGUGGGUGGUAGGCAAGGCACUGGGCCCCGUCUCAGAUGGCUUCCUGGAGGCUUGGGCGGCUAGCAAGGAUCUCGGCCCCAACGUUGACACACUCAAGAUGGAGCUGUUGUACGUGCAAGGGAUGCUCAACAACACCCGUGGCAGGGAGAUCGACAACCCGGCCCUGAAUGAGCUACUGCAAAAGCUGAGGCAGCUAGCAUACGGGGCCGAGGAUGUCUUGGACGAGCUGGAUUACUUCCGCAUCCAGGACAGCCUUUACAGCACCAGUGAGGCUGCUGACGAGCAUGCCAAGGGUUGCGUAUGCAACCUCUUCCUCAACGCUCAUCACACCGCCAAAGCUGUUGGCAAACUGCUUGGGUGCUCUGCUAACCCUCGUGAUCCUGGGGAACCGAGAUUAGAGGAAGAUACAAGGCAGCAAGUUCGCUGCUGCACUUGGCCAUGUGCCCGGAGAACUGCAAGUGCCAAUACCUCUUUGGUACCAAACACAGACCAAGCUGAUGGGGAGGCCAGCGGAUGCAUUCACAAGCUUGCUCGCAACACCGUGCGUACUGUCGGUAAACUCUUCCCUUGCUCAUCCUUCCCACAGGUUGAUGAUGAUGUUUCUGGCAAGUCAAUCCUUUGCGGUGCCUGCAUACGCAAGGCACCACAGCAAAAGCAUGCGAAAGAUGCACCAAAAUUAGAGUUUGAUAGGGUGGAUCUGUCUAAAAGAAUGAAGCAUAUUGUUGAGCAACUGCAGCCCUUGUGUGCAAAGGUUAUAGCCAUUCUUAAUCUAGAGCUAUUGGGUUCUAGUCAUACUACCAUCACAGACAUUCCCAAGAGUCCUUCCACCAGCACCUCUAACAUUAUAGAAUCAACACUGUACGGGAGGGACCCUGCAAAGAAGAGAAUCAUAGAUAGUAUCACUCAUGAUAAAUAUAGUGGCGAGAACCUAACUAUCCUGCCGAUUGUUGGUCCGGGUGGCAUAGGGAAGACAACUCUUAUACAGCACAUAUAUAACAGCCAAGAAGUGAAAACACAUUUUCAGAUCAAGAUCUGGAUAUGUGUGUCCCAGAACUUCAUUGUUAAUAAGCUGAUUGAAGAGAUUGAAAAAGCUAUACCUAGUGUGGAAGGUGAAAAAAAGGGUAGAGCAGAAGAGCUGAUUGAACAAAGAUUAAAUUCCAAAAGCCUUUUGCUUAUAUUAGAUGAUAUAUGGAAGUGUGAAUCUGAUGACUGGAAACGGCUUUUAGCACCACUCACAAAAGGACAGGCAAAGGGUAACGUAAUCCUAGUUACAACUCGGUUUCCAGCUGUAGCAGAAAUGGUUAAAACAACUGAUAGUUCAAUAGAUCUGGAGGGUUUAGAACACGGAGAGUUUAGGAAAUUUUUCCGUGCAUGCAUAUUUGGUGAUGAGAAAUCACAAAACGAUCAUGAUGGGUUACUUAAGAUUGGAGAUAGGAUUGCAGAUAAGCUAAAGGGGUCCCCUCUUGCAGCAAAAACUGUAGGUAGAUUAUUGAGGAAUCACCUUGAUGUGCAUCAUUGGACAAGAGUCCUAGAAAGUAGAGAAUGGGAAAUGCAGACCGGUGAGGAUAACAUUAUGCCUGCACUGAAACUUAGCUAUGAUUAUCUACCUUAUCAUCUGCGGCAAUGUUUUUCUAGUUGUGGUCUGUUUCCUGAAGACUACAAGUUUCACAGUGAAGAACUCAUUCAUUUCUGGAUAGGACUAGAUAUUUUAAAUCCUGGUGGUCGAAAUAAAACAAUUGAAGAUGUAGGUCAGGACAAUCUAAAUGAUUUGGUGAACAGUGGAUUUUUCAAAAAAGAUGAAACCGAGGGGCAUUAUAUCAUCCAUGAUCUGUUGCAUGAUUUAGCUUUAAAAGUUGCAUCUCAUGAAUAUCUUAGUUUGGAUCACUGCAGUGUGAGAUCAAUAGAAAUUCGGCCAUCUAUCCGUCACUUGUCGAUCGUAAUAGAUGGUCCAGAUGAUAGUAAUGGGAUAACUGAUGACAAAUUUAAGAGUGAGUUAAGGAAACUUAAGGCAAAAUUGAAGGUUGAAAACUUGCAAACAUUAAUUAUAUUUGGAGAAGGAGACAAAAGUUCUGUCAACAUUUUGGGUGAUCUGUUCAUGGAAGCAAAUGCUCUCCGUGUUCUUUGUUUGCCCACAUUAUCAUACCCCUUGGAAUCCAUGUUGCAUAACUUUUCAUCACUUCUGCACCUACGAUACCUAAAGCUAGGUACUUCUAUGAGCCAUAUGCAUUUACCAACGACUUUAUCUAGAUGUUAUCAUUUGAAGAUUUUGGAUCUACAGAAAUGGGAUGGUUCUUUUGUGUUACCUAGAGACAUGAGUAACCUUGCAAAACUAUGCCAUUUUCUCGCCCAAAAUGAUAAGCUUCUUUCGGGUAUUUAUAACGUGGGGAAACUAAAACUCUUACAGGAGUUAAAGGCUUUUCCAGUCAAGAAGGAAAUCGAAGGGUUUGAACUCAAUCAACUAGAGCAUCUGACCGAGCUAAGGGAAGUUAGCAUUUAUAACCUUGAGAAGAUACACACGAAAGAAGAAGCGGUUCAAGCAAAACUAAUACAGAAAGACUACUUGCACAAAUUAACACUAGAUUGGGACAGGGAGCGACCUAAUAGUGAGCCUGGCGCGGAUGUAGUGGUUCUUGAGAGCCUUCAACCACAUAGAAAUCUUCAGGAGCUGAGAAUUACUGGACACCGUGGCCCUUCUUGUCCAACAUGGCUAGGUGAUAACCUUGUUGUUCAGACUCUACAAUCUCUCUCUCUUCUCAGUUUCUUGGGAUAUUUUUCCUUCAUUUGGGAAGAUGUGGAAUCUUCGUGAGCUAGUAUUGUUGAAUAUUUCCACAAUAAAGGAGUUUGGUCUAGUGCAAAGCUUUUGCAAGUUAGUAAAGAAGAUUACAUUGACCGGCUUAGAAAAUUUUGAAAAAUGGGCACCACAGCCCACUCAUUACUUCCCUCACUUGCAAGUACUGAUUAUCGUAGAUUGCCCUAAACUCUCAGAGUUGCCAUUUUCAAGCCACAUUGUUUACCCACUGAAACAAGACUGGAACAUAGAUUGGUUUCCCAAACUACAAGAGCUUACGAUGGAAAAUUGCCCUGAAGUCUUGCUGCUGCCUCCUAUCCCAUGGACCCAAUCUCUAUGCUCUGUCGAGAUACGUGACGUGGGAUCAAAAUUACUGGACAAGUUGGUGUACUCAAAAUCAUCUUCUGGGGUAGGGCUGGAAGUUAAUGCAAAGGAUGGUCUGCAUAGCUUAGAUCAGUUGUUACUAUUCAGUCAACUAGCCGAGCUUCAGGGGUUGAUGAUCAAAAAUUGCCCACCUUUGGAGCUGAAGUAUUUUCUAAUGCUAACCUCAUUGAAGACAUUGUGGGCAUGGUCUUCAAAUCUUGGGGUGGUGGCAUCAGAAGUUCAGACUUGUGUAGAAUGGCAGCAUCCUAUCGAGUCCAUUGAAAUUCGGACAUCUAGUUCUUGUGGAAAGGAAUUGACACAUUUCCUAUCUCACCUCCCAAAGCUAUUCAAACUGGAAGUAUAUCGUUGUGGAAACAUAACACAGUUGGCUGUGGGGGUGGAUUUGCAGCAAACAACAGUACCAGUAGUGUCAUCGUCAACCUCUUUAGAUGUUAUUACAAUGGAUGAUACACAAGUGAAAGAUGAGCAGCAAGAAAUAGCAGAGGUGGAGAAGGAGGAGGCAAACACGGUGGAUGAUGAUGGGCUGUUGCUCCUCCCUGCACAUCUCUCCAACUCUCUGCAGACGUUGUUCAUCAACUCCCUCGAAGCCCUCCAAGCCCUAACUAGACUUCAUUUAGAAUAUUGCUCUUUUCGCCACCCUUUCCCGUCCUCCCUGCUACACCUGAAACUUUCGUCCGUGAAGGGCGUGCUGACCUUUCAAAUCUCACCUCUCUCACACGAUUAGAAAUAUAUCGUUGCGGAGAGGAUUUUAGAUGCAAGGGCCUGUUGCCUCUCCUUACUCGGGGCCAGCUCAGCAGUUUAGAAGUCAAUGGAAGCCCCAGUUUCUUUGGUGGGUGGGAGUGGGAUCCCAAUGCCAUGCGGGGGAGGUCCUCCAAACUGCAGGAGGUCGAGACAGAUGACAUCCAGGGCUUCCUCGGUGCGCCCGCCCUCUGUAGCCUCCUCUCUUCCUCCCUCAGCGACUUGCACUUUAGUUGGAACGAUGAGACAGCGCACUUCACAAACGAGCAGGAGGAGGCCUUUCAAUGCCUCACCUCGCUCCAGGUACUCUGGUUUUUGUGUUGUGAUAAGCUGGAACAACUCCCUGCCGCGCUAAACAAGCUGACCAACCUCAAGAGAUUAGUAAUCUUCCGGUGUCCAGCCCUCCGGUCGCUGCCCAAGGGCGGCCUCCUGAGUUCACUGUGAGAAUUAGAUGUCAAAGGGUGCGACAACGAGGAGCUAACAGAGCACUGCAGGCGGUUAAUUGGAACCAUCCCGGAAAUCAAACUAUAGACCAAUGGGCGGACACGGUCCGGGCCGGUCCGGUCCCGGUCCAAGCCGUCGUUUGGACCGGCUGUCGGCGGUACGGUCUGGACCGGGACCGAGCAGGCUGGCGGUCCUCUGGUCAGGGACCGCAUCAACGAGGCAAAAGCCCGGGCCGGACCGGCGGACCGGCAAAUAACUCACCGGCGGCGAGGUGAUGACCAUGGCGUCGGCUAGCGAAGGCUCUAAGCCGUAAUCAGAAGCGGGGACAAAGGGAGAAGUUGCGGUAAGUCAUGUAGAGUUCGAUAGUGAGGUCGGGGAGGCCGGGGAAGUAGCGACGGCGACGCAAUCGACGACGAACGACGACAGCUGGAGCUGGAGAUGGAGCAUGAUGGCGACUGAUUCGUGUCGAAUCCGGUCGAUUCGUUGCGAGGGGAAGGAGAUCUCAUGAUUGCGAAGCUCCUGGAAAUGGUGGUUCGUCAUGGAGAUGCCGGUGACCGCGUCCGCAAGAGCUUGUGCGUUGAACGGUGGCGGCCGCGGCACAGGUACGUGUCCCCCGCCACACCUCCAGCAGUACGCCCCUGCCAUGCCCCCCAUGCUCGUGCCGUCCAGGCUGAGACCAAUCCAAGGUAACAGAUACUUCCUUGCCCGUGCCAAUUCCUUAUUUCCAUAAAUACUCCUUUUUUUUCUGAUCACACACACAUGCCAGCUCGUUUUUCUUUUGGUGUGGUGUACCUCGUUACUGUGUAUCCUGAACAUCGUUUGUCUCCGUCGGCUGUGCAGCUGGUCUCUCCGUCUUGGAGUUGUACAUUCUUCUAGCCUUGUGGAAUUAUAUAUCCGCAUCUAUGGACAGUUGGCUUAUGUGAGGUCCUGUGGUAAUUUUUCAUGUCAAUACAUCUGGUAAGUAGAUGCAAAUUGUCUGAAAAGUAUCUAUAGUUAUCUGUCUGAUAAAAAUUGCCCCCAGUUAUCUUGAGCGCAUGAUUUUUAUUAAUAUACGAGUAUGUGAUUAACAAUUGGAGGGCUUGUCUAUUCAACUGGAAAAUUAGUACCAUUAUGCUUGUGUAAAUUGGUCGGUACACCAAAUACGAGAGUGUGUUCCUACCAGAAUAAAUACACAAAAGUGAGAUUUUAUUUUUUCAUUCGUCUGUGCAAAAUUAACCUUGUUAGCCUGAUCUAAGGAUAGUGUAUGUGUUUGUAUCUCUCCAGAGAUCAUCGAAAAUUUUAAUUAUUCACAAAACGUACCUUGUUUCUGUUUGGCAUAGCACAGGACUAGUUAUUUUUUCCCUCAGAUUCACCGUUUGUUUUUUUCUGCAGGUUUCCUUGUAUUUUUCAAGGAAACAAGUGAAGGGAGAAGAGGAAGUCCCAUUUCUUCAUCAAGUCGACGGACAGUCACGCAAGGUUGAACAUGAAAUGUGUACAAUCUUUUCAGUUUUUUAGAGAGCAGCAGUUUCAGAGCAAUGCAAUUUUGAAAAAGGGCCAUUUGAAUUGUGAAAACAGUGCUACCAUGGAACAUUGAUAGGUUGUACAGCACCGAUGCUCUCAGUGCUUGUUUUGGCAUUGAUUUGCGAGAACUAAGCACCAUGUUGCAUCAUCGAGGAGCUACAACAACAGUUAAUCAGGAACUAUCCUGAAAGUCGUACUAGAGCACUAGACUAAUCCAAGGUAAAAAGAAAGCUUCCCUGUCUGCUCAUCCAAACACCACAUUACCUUGCUUUUUCUUGAUCUCGCAUCAAUUCAUAUUUUGGAUCGGUUUACCUCAUUACUGCAAAAUCUUAACAUUGUUCUUCGAUCUACUUUACAGGUUCUCUUGCGACUUUGGAGUUGUACAUUUUUAACCUUGUCGAAUCCUCCCUGUGUUUAUGCAAAGUUCGUACAUGGGGAUCUUGUGUGGCAUCUUCUGACUGUACAUCAUGCAUAAAUCUGGUAAGUACGUGUUAAACUCCUCCAACCAUAUUACAGAUACGGUGAUACCUAGAUGUUUUCUCUUGAACUGUGAAAUAUCAAGAAAACCAACGUGGUCGUCAGUUAACGCUAUUUCAGAAUUUCCGUCUCUUCCUUCAUGGACGAAAUUUAUCAUGCAUUCAGCAUUUUAUUUGUUUCUUGUGCAGGUGUUGUCAUGCUUGCUCUGGUUGGUUCAGAGAUACUUUGCAGUUACAUUUUGAUGGUCACUCAACAACACUGGCUGGUGUACUUAGCUUAUUUGGCUGUGAGGAUCAUAAUGGUGGUAUAUUGCUGAUUUGCUACUGAAUAUCAGGUUUGCAGUUUUUUCAGUUCGGUAUUACAUUGAUACCGAUUCAAGUUGUUCUUGCAUUCGUCAUAGUUAUUGUUGCUUAAUGAAAAUUUGGUAAUUACAGGACCUUACAAGAAUACCCUUCAUACCAUCAUAGUGCUUGCGUCUUGAGAUCUCAGGCUGUCAUUAAUUGGUAUGCCCAAUGUUGCAUAUCCGCACCCAUAUAAAAGUCUAAAAGGUUACUCGUGUAUUUAUCUUAAGUUUCAAACUUUUAUACUGAACUAAGCUUCUUGGUUGCUUGAUAGAUGUGGCCUGUGGACAAGUUUGGAAUUCAACAAUUAAGUAGUAGCAGAUCUGUGCAAAGGUUAGUAAACCCCGUGCUGAAAUUCACGAUCGCUUUAGCUAUGAUAGGUUGUAUUCAAAGUGUGGAAUUGUCAAACUCUUAUUACCUCAUGAGACCAAGGUUAGAGAACUUGUUGCUUUCCUGAUAAGUUGGCAGUCUAGCUUUUGAGCACGCUCAUAAUAUCUGAAUUCAUUGUCAUGCUGAAUUAAAUAACGCCAGAGAGUUUUCAGCUGAUACAUAUAGUUGUAAAGCUAGAGAACACUUGUUACUAGGUGAUUGAUGAACAUUGAUUGAGCAAAGAGACUUGAGCUUGCUAAUUUUAUUCAUAGAACCUGUUGAGUUGAGUAGGGUGAAGGUGAUUUUAUUCUCUUCUUGAUUUGGAGUAAUUUUUUUCUAUCCCACCAAUACCAAAAACAUAGCAGAUUUCAUGAGCCUUGACUAUUGCAAUUUGAAUAUUUAGUGCGUAUUGUUAAGUUUGAUGUUCCUCUAGUCUGAAGUCUUUCAAAGCCAGUCAUUCUCUUCGCGUAACUUCACAUUUUCUAGCCUGUUCGACACUCGGCAUUGCAUUCCUUCAUAAGGAUAUCACGAACAUUGCCGGCCUACAUAUACAAAUCCCGGAAAUUAUACCGUUGCCUUCCAUUUGUUCACACCAUACCUACCUAUAUAUAUAGUGCAUCACUCCGCGCUUGGUAUUCCAUAGUAGUUGAUUAUUCCAUGAGCACAGUCAUCGAAGUUCGAGAAGACUCUAAAGCGCUUUAUUGUCAUCAACCCUGCAAAAUUCAUUGUUAUGAAGAGCUAUAUUCAUCAGCAUUGAUGCAUCUCUUAGAUACAAAUGAAAAAAAAGAAAUAAAGAAAAAGAGAGAUGAGCAGCAUGCAAAAGAUCAAAGAGUUCAUUCUCAAGCAGGACAAAAUAGCCAGCAGCACUUCCAUAUUCAUCUUCAGAUUAAUCAAACUACUUCCUAUGCAUAUCGAUAAUGGGAACAUUACUCACAUCCUGGGAUCACCAUGCAUUCCAUAGGCCUCUCAAAUCAUUUCUUUGGUGUGACUCCAUUCCCUCCCACAUACCCUGAGACUACCUUUUCCAGUGACUGGAAUGUGAAGACUUCUUUGUACUGGAGUUGAACUCUUAUUUAGCUUUACAAUCUAGAUUUCAGAUUUGCUCAUUUUAUCGAAUUACCUUACCAAGCUCCAGAUAAGCUUUCUACGAAUAUAAAGUAGAUAGGGAAUACUUGGGCUACUGACCAGUGAGGACUAUAAUAAAGUGAUGAGAGUAAUUCCAGAUCAUGACGAGGUAAUCUCACUAGAUACCUGCUCUUGGAAGGUUCACAAAAGAAUAAAAUUGUUGGCUACUCCUGUUUCCUUUUGGUCUUGACAUUGAAGUCAAACAACCAAGUGAUUUGUGUUCAAAAACUGUUAUAGCUAUAUUGUUGAUGCUGGUUACUCUCAAAAAAUGAAAUCCAUUCCUUACUGGCAAUGAAUAAGAGUAGUUAUUUAAGUGUGUGCUCAAUCGCUAGCUUGCUACUUUGAUAAGUUUGUGGGAAGUGUCUCUGUCUGAAGCUCAUGAGGAUUAUAGUAAUUGUUCGCACAUGAGCAUUUGUUUGCGAUCUAGCUAUGCUAAGCUUUCAGGUAUUUCACAAGCACGUGGGCAAGUUGAAUCAGGAGCCUAAAUCAUCUGGAUGUGAUCUGAGAAUCUUUUUCUUGAGGGAAGAAUCAGAAAGGGAGAAGCCUGAGAUGAAUCAUACAUUUUGUUUCUAUUUGUAGCCACUUUCUCCCUAAUAAUGCUAUAAGGAAGAGAGAAUUAUUUUUUCGAACCUACUAUUUCCCUCUAGUAGCUUCAAGCUGUAGCAGGUUUCGAUGGGUGGUACAAAAACAUGCCAAAAAAAUACAUUUGUUUCCUCAGUGUGGAUGACGUAUAUUCAGUUAAAUGAAAUGCAGUUCUUUGCAACAGUAUCUUCAUAUCUGAACCUAUGUUUGGGUGUUAAUUAUUUGGUUGCCUGUGCUAAAGCAUGAUUAAAUAAAUUCAAUGCAAUGGUUGACUGCAGAAUCUUCCUGAUUGCCAUUUGAUAUUCAUCAAUUGGCGAUGGUGACUAAAGUAAUUGUUGCCAUCUUGGUUUCUAUUUUUGGAGAAAAGAAAAUCCUGCGAUUUAUGUUUACUACACAAGAUUUGAACGCAAAAGAUACACAACCAUGAUCUGGAGUCUGGACACACUACAACUAUUGCCUGUCUUGUCCAGGUAUGAUCCGGGGAGAUUUGGGUUUGUUUUUGGGCCCUUACUGAAGAAGUAGCAUCCUAGGAGUAGGGAUGGUUCAUCAGUGAGCAUUCAUUCGAACAAGCAAACUCUACUAACCACGCGCUAGAUCUGAGCUAAGUCUCCCAUUGUCAGUUUCGUGAUGUACAUCUGCUCUGCUUCCUCUGUCUAUGCGUCCGUGCUGCCGACGCUGCCACUGUCACUAAACCAUGUCUCUUCGAAAGAGAUCUGAAGCGAAGCCGCGACAUCGACACUGGCAGAUUUUUUUUGAUAAAUGAAGCUUUUAUUGAAGUCAGAUCAUUACAUCAACAUGAUACGUACAAUCAUGCUGGGAUCACUCCCGGCCGAUGCACACAGCCCACACACACAAGAGCUUUAUAACAAGUGGAAUAACAGAAAAAUGCUAUGGAUCGUCAAUCAUUAGACUAGACCGUCACCCAUCCUCCUGUGUAAAACACUCCCUAAUCACCCGCUUCAAAUGUUGACACGCCGCUGCAACUAACUCCUGAGAACCCGACUUCUAUAGAAUAGCACAGGUACGGAGCCAGUGGGUAACUGAAUAAAUAACCUGUAGUGGAGAUGAAUAUUUUAUUCUUGUUAAAAAACACAUCAUUCCUGCAUAACCAAAGCGACCAACAAGUAGCGCCCGCGCCUAACAUGACUUGUUGUUUUAGGUCAUUCCUUAUGCCUCGUAUCCAACCACUAAAUAUAUGUGACAUACUUUGAGCUGAGAACAACCUGAAGCCGCUUGUAUAAUAGACUAGACGGCCCGUGCAAAACGACAUUCAAAGAAAAGGUGUCGGAUAAUCUCAUCUUUGUGACAAAAGCAACUAUUUUUACUGCCUUGCCAAUUAUGUUUAGCCAAGUUAUUCCUUCACACCUGCACAUUUAGCUUUACAAUCUAGAUUUAAGAUCUGCUCUUUCUUUUUUUACCUUACCAAGCUCCAGAUGAGCCUUUCCACAGAUAUAAAGCAGACGGGAAACACUUCUGCCAUUUCUAAGUGAGGACGACUACCAUUAUGCGAUGAGCGUAAUUUAGGAAUGACGACAUGUUCUUGGAAGGUUAGAGAAGGAAUAAAAUUGUUGGAUGAUCUUGUUUUCUUUUGUUUUUGACACUAAAGCCAAACAACCUAGUGACAUAGCGUUUGAAUACUUUGAUCGCUGUAUUUUUUAUGUUAUUCACUCCCACAAAACUGAAACCCGUCCUCAGAACUCUCGGGUUCCCUCAUGGCAAUGAAUGAAGUUGUCAUUUAAGCUUGUGCUCGAUUGCUAGAUUGCUACUUUGAUAAGUUUGUGGCAUGUUCCUCUGUCCCAAGUCUAUGAGGACUAUAAUAAUAGUUUGCACAUGAGCACUUGUUUGCAGUCUCUCCAUGCUAAGCUUUCAGGAAUUGUAGAAGUAAAUGGGCGCUUUGCUUCAGCAGCUAGCGCGGGUCCCGUGAAGAAAUUUGGUCUGCCAUUGCAAUGCACCGCGGUCGCAGAUGCUGUUUUCCCCUUGAGUGGGGAGUCGGUAAGGGAGGAAGAAGGCUGAGAUAAAUCAUAGCCCUGUAUCUCCAUUUGUAGCAAUGAUGUAUAGUGAAGAAAGAAUGUGCAAUGCUCCCACGUGUUUUUUGUCCAUUAUUUUUUACUAGCUAGCUUCUGUAGUACCUGGCCUAUGAAUGAAUUGUACUAAAACGGAUCAAUCUUUUGAUUCACUAUUGUCAGUAUGGACAUCUAUUUUCAUCGUCCACAAUACCAUCGUAUCUCGACCUGCUGACUGCUGUGUUGUUGGAUUUGGAUGUCACUCUGACUGGUUGCUUGUUCAUGUGGACUGAAAGAGGAUUAAAAAUGUUUACAAUCACAGAGAGAAAUGGAAAAGAGUAGAACGACACAGGCGAAUGAAAACAAGAGCUGGUCUCUCUGUUUUUAGAAGAAAAAAAAGAGAUCUCAUGUGGACUCGGUAGCCAAUCUUGGGCUGUUAUCCGUGGGCCUGACUUACGGAUCUGGGCCCUGCAGGGCUAUUCGGGCUCUUAGUUGGUCCUGUGAUCGUUUCCCUUGGAAAGAAAAAAAAAACCUCCAGUCGUCGCCGGUGACGAGGUCCACACAAACACAAGGCGGCGGCCGACCAUGGAUUUGCCCGAGAUCGCCGCCGGCGACGGAAGCUAUGACCUCUGGAUGCUGCCUCCGCUCGCUCUCCGCCGUGAUCUCCGCACGCGACGCCAGGCGGUAAGCCCUCCUUCUCUUCCUGGCCGGCGCACGGCACGGACGCGUUGGUUUUUCUUGUGUCGCGUUCGAUCGAUUCGAUGCGCUGGCAACUGGCAUGAAGCCGGUGGAUAUGCGUCGGUCCUAGUUCAUGCGAGCCUGUAGUUACUUGUUCUGCAACAUCUGGGAAGGAUUCCUCAGUUCCGUCAGGGUUUCGAUUCAGACUGCCCGUGUGUGCAUGCUUUUAUGGAAAGAACAACAGACUCUCGAUAGUAGCAGUAUUGCAGUAAAGCCCAUUAUUUGCCCCUGCCAGUGACCAAAUCAAAGAAUCGCCUCAGCCUCGGACUUGAUCCUUUCUUGUCCUAAAACAAGAAUCAAGCAGAGGCACAUGCCGUGCCAGACAAGGUGUUCUAAAACUGAAGCUGCACAUAAAAGGUGACUCACAUCACCUUCACCAUCAGCACUGUCACUCGAUUCCUUGUGAUGGUUACCCCUUGCCCACUAAUUCCUUUCCUCUGUUUACAAAAAGGCAUUCUACCGGAGGCCAGCAAGCUUAUAUGUAUAAAUGCUUUGCUUCAUCACCCCACAAAAAGUGAAACAGAAUACGUGUUGCCUUUGUUUUCCUGCCUUGGAGUGUUUGCACCAACUUAGGAUCAGCAAAGCAUCAAUAACUCUCACUGUUUGCAUAACACGAAUUUUAUCAGCUCACUGCUAGCUGCCGGUCGAUGAUGGAUUAAUUAAUUACCCCAUUACUGUCGAAUUCCAGUUGAUGAUCGACGGCAUUAUUUUCUAAUUCUGUGAAUCUUAGAAACAGGUUUGAUCUUUGAUGUACCCAGCAGUGGGCACUAUACAUGUUGUGUAGUAUUGGUGGUGCCCGAUUUAAUAAUGCAAGUCUUUGCUUGCUCUUCCAGUUUCGCAUACGUAAAUUUGAAGCUUCUUGCACCUAUAAAUAUCACCCCCAAGCUUCUUGCACCUAUAAAUAUCACCUCCCAAGCUUCUUGCAUUUCCGCGCCAUCUACCCUCUCUGGUAACAACACUUUGCAGUGCAGUGUGGCAGACCUCCGGUUCUCCUCUUCUGUUGUGAUGAACGCUCGAGCCUAUAUAUAGCCUCCCUUCUAAAACGCACAACUCCCCCCACCCCACCACCACNNNNNNNNNNNNNNNNNNNNNNNNNNNNNNNNNNNNNNNNNNNNNNNNNNNNNNNNNNNNNNNNNNNNNNNNNNNNNNNNNNNNNNNNNNNNNNNNNNNNNNNNNNNNNNNNNNNNNNNNNNNNNNNNNNNNNNNNNNNNNNNNNNNNNNNNNNNNNNNNNNNNNNNNNNNNNNNNNNNNNNNNNNNNNNNNNNNNNNNNNNNNNNNNNNNNACACACACACAUACACACAUCUGCCAUCCAUCUCCCCAAACCCUCUCCGGCUCUCUGCCAGUACGUGAACUCAGCUGUGAAGACAUUCUACGUUCUUACCGUUGGCGACCACCGCCGAACCCUCCCGCCGGGUGCCGACCCAGCACGCGGAAGCGGAAGUGUAUGGAUGCCGUUUUAAUUUGUUUUCUCUGGCAGCGGAGAUUAAAUAUUAAUUAAUCCAUAUUACAGGUCUGGUUACGGCGACUAACUGCAUUUGCAAAUGAAUUCAUCUUACUGAAUGCAGCAUACGUGAAGAGAUCGUUACUGGUACCACCUGUGCGGGCGUGAGGGAUGAAUCUGGCCCUUAACGCGGCGCAGUGGGUGGUUGGCAAGGCGCUUGCACCCGUUGCGGAUGGCUUGCUCGAGGCUUGGGCUGCCAGCAACCAGCUCGGCCCCAACAUGGAGGCCCUCAGAAUGGAGCUGCUGCUCGUGAAGGCCACGCUGGAAAAUGCAGGUGACAAGCAGCUCGACGGCCACCAAGCCCUCGAGGAGCUGCUGCAGAAGAUGCAGGACUUGGCUCAUAAUGCUGAGGACGUGCUUGACGAGCUGGAUUAUUUCCGCAUCCACGACGAGCUCAAUGGCACCUGUGACGCUGCCAACGAGGACGCCAGAGGUUGUGGCCACAAUCUCUUCCUGAAUGCACGCCACACCGCCAAAGCUGUUGGCAAGCUGCUUUCGUGUACAUCUGCUUCCACCUCUGGUGAUCACGUAGAAGAAGAUGCAACACAUCGUGUUCUCUGCUGUGCUCGACCUUGUGCUAGCCACAGAGCACGCGGCAGUUCCUCCUCAGCGCUAGACACCAGUCUGGUCGGUGAGGAGGUCAGCAGCCGCAUGAGCAAGUUCGGUAAAUUCUUCCCUUGCUCUUCCAUUCCAAAUGUUCAUGAUGAUGAUGAUCCAGGCAACUCAAUCCUUUCCGAUGUCCACGCACGCAAGACACCACAGAACAACCCCACUAAAGAAACCACAAUCUUGAGAUUUCAUAGGGUGGAUGUCUCUAAUAGAAUGAAGCAAAUUGUAGAGCAACUACGACCCAUGCGUCAAGAGGUUACGACCAUCCUGCGGGAUUGUAGGCUUAGAAUUGUUGCAGGCCCUGCCCAUAAUCGUCCCACCACAACCUCCGAAAGUCUAGAGCCAACAUUGCAUGGGAGAGACCAUAUGUUGAAUAGCAUCAUCCAUGACAUCACAAAGGGUAAAUAUUGUGGGCAGGAUCUGACUGUGCUUCCGCUGGUUGGCCCCGGAGGCAUAGGAAAGACAACUCUGACACAAUACAUACAUAAUGCACAAGAAGUGCAUAACCAUUUUCAUGUAGUGGUUUGGACAUGUGUAUCUGUUGAUUUCAACCCAAAUAAGUUGCUAGAAGAGAUUAAAGGAAAAAUCCCUGAAGUUGAAGGGGAAAAAGAGGGUGAAGUAGGGAAGGUGAUCGAACAAAGACUAAAAACUAAAAGGCUUUUACUUAUAUUAGAUGAUAUGUGGAAAUGUGGUGAUCGGGAGGAUUGGGAAAGGUGGCUGUUGCCAUUCAAAAAAUCACAAACAAAAGGUAGCAUGAUUCUAGUCACAACUCGGUUUCAAGCGCUAGCAGAAACAGUUAAAACAACCGGUGAUUAUAUAAAACUGGGAGGGUUAGAACCGCAAGAGUUUAGGAAGUUGUUCCUAUCAUAUAUCUUCGGUGAUGAGGAUUCUACAGAGGAUUACACUUACUUGCUCGAGACCGGAGAUAAGAUAAUAGAAAAACUAAAGGGGUCGCCUCUUGCGGCAAAAACUGUUGGUAGAUUACUGAGAGAUCAACUCGAUUUGCAUCAUUGGAAAAUGGUCCUUGAAAGUAAAGAAUGGGAGAAGCAAACUGGAAACCAUGACAUUAUGCCUGCCUUGAAACUUAGUUAUGACUAUCUCCCUUUCGAUAUCCAACAAUGUUUUUCCUAUUGUGCAUUAUUUCCUGAGGAUUACAAGUUCCGUAGCAAACAACUCAUUCACUUAUGGAUAGGACUCGAUAUUUUACAUUCUAGUGGCCAAACUAGAACAACAGAAGACAUAGGUCUGAGCAAUUUAAAUUAUUUGGUCACCCAUGGUUUUUUCCAACCAGUGGAGAGCCAUACUAUAUUAUCCAUGACCUACUACAUGAUUUAGCAUUGACGAUCAUGUCUCAUGAAUGUCUUAGCUUGAAUUUUCCAAAUGUAAGAUCGGUAGGAAUUCAUCCAUGCAUUCGUCACUUGUCCGUAACCAUUGAUAUUGUAGAUUAUAACAAGGCAAUGGCAAGUGAAAACAUGGAGACUGAACUGAGAAAACUAAAGACAAGAUUCAGCGUUGAAAAAUUGCAAACUUUGAUGGUGUUUGGAGAAAUGGAUGAAAGCAUUGCUAGUAUGUUUGGUGAUUUUCUUAGGGAAGCAAAUGCUCUUCGUGUUCUUUGCUUGUCCAAGAUGUGUAUUCCUGUUGAGUCUAUGUUACAUAAAUUUUCAACACUUGUCCACCUACGAUACCUAAGUCUAGGGACCAUGCUUAAGAUGUACUUACCAGAUACAAUCUCUAGAUUUUAUCAUUUAAAGAUUUUGGAUCUAGAAGGAUGGCGUGGAUACCAUGAUGUGCCUAGAGACAUGUGCAACCUUGCAAAAUUAUGUCAUGUUUCUACAGAACGUGAUGAGCUUCAUUCUUGUAUUUAUAAUGUGGGAAAAUUAAAACUCUUACAAGAGUUAAAGGCAUUUAAAGUCAACAAAGAAAAUGAAGGGUUUGAACAAAAGCAACUUGAGGAUUUGGUCGAGCUAAGGGAACUUGGCAUCUACAACCUUGAGAAAAUACAUACACAAGAAGAAGCAGCCAAAGCAAAACUAAUAAACAAAAACUACUUGCGUGUUCUAACAUUAUCUUGGGAUAGUGAGCAAACUAAUGCUAAGCCUGAGAAUGAAGGUUUGGUUCUUGAGAGUCUUCAACCACAUAGAAAUCUCCAAGAGUUAUACAUUAGAGGGAACAAAGGCCCUUCUUGUCCAACAUGGCUGGGUGAUAAAUUCGAUGUUGAAGCUCUAAAGUCUCUUCAUCUCUUUCGUGUUUCUUGGGAUGUCUUUCCUUCGUUUGGGAAGAUGUGGGAUCUCCGUGAACUAACACUCGAUCAUAUUUCCACAAUAAAGGAGUUUGGUCUAGAGGAAAGCCUCUGCAAAUUAUUAAACAAGAUUACACUCACCGGCUUAGGAAAUUUUGAAAAAUGGGUACCACAGCCGACUCAUUUCUUCCCUCAUUUGCAAGUACUGAUUAUCACAGGGUGCCCUAAACUCUCAGAGUUGCCAUUUUCAAGCCACAUUGUUUACCCACCGAAACAAGACUGGAACAUAGAUUUGUUUCCCAAGCUACAAGAGCUUAAGAUAGAAAAUUGCCCUGAAGUCUUGCUGCUGCCUCCUAUCCCUUGGACCCAAUCUUUGUGCUCUGUCGAGAUAAGUGAUGUGGGAUCGGAACUACUGGACAGGUUGAUCUACUCAAAAUCAUCUUCUGGAGUAGCAUUGUUAGUUUAUGCAAAGGAUGGCCUGUAUAACUUAGAUCAGGUGUUACUAUUCAGUCAACUAACCGAACUUCAGAAUUUGAUGAUCAAAAAUUGCCCACCUUUGGAGCUGAAGUAUUUUCUAAUGCUAACCUCAUUGAAGACAUUGUGGGCAUGGUCUUCAAAUCUUGGGGUGGUGGCAUCAGAAGUUCAGACUUGUGUAGAAUGGCAGCAUCCUAUCGAGUCCAUUGAAAUUCGGGCAUCUAGUUCUUGUGGAAAGGAAUUGACACAGUUCUUGUCUCACCUCCCAAAGCUAUCCAAACUGGAAGUACAUUCUUGUAUAAACGUAACACAGUUGGCUGUGGGGGUGGAUUUGCAGCAAACAACAGCACCGACAGUGUCAUCGUCAACCUCUUUAGAUGUUAUUACAAUGGAUGAUACACAAGCAAAAGAUGAGCAGCAAGAAAUAGCAGAGGUGGAGAAGGAGGAGGCAAACACGGUGGAUGAUGAUGGGCUGUUGCUCCUCCCUGCACAUCUCUCCAACUCUCUGCAGACGUUGUUCAUCAACAAUAGUAUUGGUGUGGUAGUUCAUUCCCUCGAAGCCCUCCAAGCCCUAACUAGACUUCAGUUAGAAUAUUGCUCUUUUCGCCACCCUUUCCCGUCCUCCCUGCUACACCUGAAACUUUCGUCCGUGAAGGGCGUGCUGACCCUUUCAAAUCUCACCUCUCUCACCCGAUUAGAAAUAUAUCGUUGCGGAGAGGAUUUUAGAUGCAAGGGCCUGUUGCCUCUCCUUACUCGGGGCCAGCUCAGCAGUUUAGAAGUCAUUGGAAGCCCCAGUUUCUUUGGUGGGUGGGAGUGGGAUCCCAAUGCCAUGCGGGGGAGGUCCUCCAAACUGCAGGAGGUCGAGACAGAUGACAUCCACGGCUUCCUCGGUGCGCCCGCCCUCUGUAGCCUCCUCUCUUCCUCCCUCACCGACUUGUCCUUUAUGGGGGACCAUGAGACGGCGCGCUUCAUAAACGAGCAGGAGGAGGCCUUUCAAUGCCUCACAUCGCUCCAGGUACUCCAGUUUUCGGGUUGUAAUAAGCUGGAACACCUCCCUGCAGCGCUAAACAAGCUGACCAACCUCAAGAGAUUAUGGAUCUCGUGUUGCCCAGCCCUCCGGUCACUGCCCAAGGACGGCCUCCCGAGUUCACUGCAAGAUUUAGAUGUCGAGGAUUGCGAGAACGAGGAGCUACCAGAGCACUGCAAGAGGUUAAUGGGAACCAUCCCAGAAAUCAGACUAUAGAGUAUAGACCAAUGGGUGGACACGGUCCUGGCCGGUCCGGUCCCGGUCCGAGCCGUCGUUUGGACCGGCCGCCGGCGCAGGUACGUGUCUCCCGCCACACCUCCAGCAGUACGCCCCCGCCAUGCCCCGCCAUGCUCGUGCCGUCCAGGCUGAGACCAAUCCAAGGUAACAGAUACUUCCUUGCCCGUGCCAAUUCCUUAUUUCCAUAAAUACUCCUUUUUUUCUGAUCACACACACAUGCCAGCUCGUUUUUCUUUUGGUGUGGUGUACCUCGUUACUGUGUAUCCUGAACAUCGUUUGUCUCCGUCGGCUGUGCAGCUGGUCUCUCCGUCUUGGAGUUGUACAUUCUUCUAGCCUUGUGGAAUUAUAUAUCCGCAUCUAUGGACAGUUGGCGUAUGUGAGAUCCUGUGGUAAUUUUUUAUGUCAAUACAUCUGGUAAGUAGAUGCAAAUUGUCUGAAAAGUAUCUAUAGUUAUCUGUCUGAUAAAAAUUGCCCCCAGUUAUCUUGAGCGCAUGAUUUUUAUUAAUAUACGAGUAUGUGAUUAGCAAUUGGAGGGCUUGUCUAUUCAACUGGAAAAUUAUUACCAUUAUGCUUAUGUAAAUUCGUCAGUACACCAAAUACGAGAGUCUGUUCCUAGCAGAAUAAAUAGUUAAAUACACAAAAGUGAGAUUUUUUUUCUUUUGUUUGUGCAAAAUUAACCUUGUUAACCUUAUCUAAGGAUAGUGUAUCUAUUUGUAUCUCUCCAGAGAUCAUGAGAAAUUUUAAUCAUUCACAAAACCUACCUUGUUUCUGUUUGGCAUAGCACAUGACUAGUUCUUUUUCCCCUCAGAUUCACCAUUGUUUUUUUGCUGCAGGUAUCCUUCAAUCCUUGUGUUUGUCAAGGAAACAAGUGAAGGGAGAAGAGGAAGUCCCAUUUCUUCAUCAAGUCGACGGACAGUCACGCAAGGUUGAACAUGAAAUUUGUACAAUCUCUUCAGUCUUAAUUCAGAGGAGCACUGGAUCUGCAUGGGUUUUCCAGAGAGCAGCAGUUUCAGAGCAGUGCAAUUUUGAAAAAGGGCCAUUUGAAUGGUGAAAACAAUGUUACCAUGGAACAUUGAUAGGUUGUACAGCAGCAAUGCUCUCAGUGUUUGUUUCGGCAUUGAUUUGCGAGAACUAAGCACCAUGUUGCAUCAUUGAGGAGCUAGGACAACAGUUCAUCAGGACUAUCCUGAAAAUCAUACUAGAGCACUAGACCUAUCCAAGGUAAAAAAAAAACUUCCCUGUCUGCUCAUCCAAAUACCCAACAUUACCUUGCUUUUUCAUGCUCUCGCAUAUGAAGUCAUAUUUUGGAUCUGCUUACCUCAUUACUGCAAAAUCUUAACACUGUUUUUCUAUCUACUUUACAGGUUCUCUUGCGACUUUUGGGGAGUUGUACAUUUUUUAGCCUUGUCGAGUCCUCCCUGUUUAUGCAAAGUUCACACAUGGGGAUCUUUUGUGGCAUCUUCUUACUGCACAUCAUACAUAAAUCUGGUAAGUACAUGCUCAACUCCUUCAACGAUAUUACGGAUACCUAGAUGUUUUUUUUUGAACCGAGAAAUAUAAAAAAAAAAAUCAACUUGAUCCUCAGCUGAUGCCAUUCAGAAUUUCCUUCUCUUCCUUCAUGAACGAUUUUAUAAUGAAUUCAAAAUUUUAUUUGUUGUGCAGAUAUUCUUAUGCUUGUUCUGGUUGGUUUCGAGAUAUUGGUCAUCAUUCACCAAAACUUGCUGGUGUACUUGUUAAGCUGUGAGGAUCAUAAUGUGGGAAUAACUGAUAUUUUGCUGAUUUGCUAUUGAAACUAAGGUGUGCAGUUUCUUCAGUUCGAUGCUAUAUUGAUAGGAUAGGAGGUGUACCUGCAUUUUUCAUAAGCUUUGGUGCUAAAUGAAAUUUUGUUAAUUACAGGAACUUUUUACAAGAAUACCUUUCUUACCAUGUCAGUGCUUGCGUCGAGCAGAUUGAGAUCUCGGGCUUUCACUAAAUGGUAUGCCUUGUCUAUUCACACUCUUACAGAAGUAUAAAAGGACUCGUGUAUUUGUCUUACGUUCCGAACUUUUUAGGCUGAACUAAGCUUCUUGGUUGCUGAAUAGACGUGGUCCGUGGACAACUUUGGAAUUGAACAAUGCAGCAGUAGCAGAUUUGUGGAAAGGUCAGUAAACCCCUGCUGAAAUUCGUGAUGGGUUUAGCUAUGUAGAUUGAAUUCAGUGUGCAAUUUUCGAACUCUUAUUGCCACAUGAGACCUAUGUUAGAGAACUUCCUGCUUUCUUGAUAAGUUGGCAGUCUAGCUUUUGAGCACACUCAUAAUCUCUGAAUGCAUUGUCAUGCUGAAUUAAGUUACACAAGAGAGUUUUCAGCUGAUACAUAUAGUGGUAAAGGUAGAGAACACUUGUUACUAGAUGAUUGAUGAACAUUGAUUGAGCAAAAAAAGACUUGAGCUUGCUAAUUUUUAUUCCUAGAACCUCCUGAAUUUAGUAUGGUGAAGGUGAUUUUAUUCUCUUCUUCAUCCCGAGUAUUUUGUUCUGUCCCACCAUUGCCAAAAACAGCAUAUUUCGUAAGUCUUUGAUUAUUGCAAUCUGAAUUUCUAGUGCGUAUUGUUAAGUUUGAUGUUCCUCUAGUCUGAAGUCUUUGAAAUCCAGUCAUUCCAUUUGCGUAACUUUUGUUGUCUAGCCUCUUCAACACUCGUCAUUGCAUUCCUUCAUCAGGAAACUCUGCUGGUGUACAUAUACAGAUCCCAGAAAAUAAACCAUUUCUUCCAUGUGUUCACACCAUACCUACCUAACCACCUACCUAUAAUCACAUCUCUCACUAUCCCACAGUAGUUGGUUAUUCCAUAAGCACAAAUGCACAAUCAUCAAGUUAAAAGAAGACUCAAAAGCGCUUUGUUGUCAUUGACCCUGCAAAUUUCAUCAUUAUGAAGAGCUAUAUUCGUUAAUAUUUAUGCCUCUCUCACAAAAGUCAAAAAAGUAAUAAAGAAAAAGAGUGAGGGAGGUCAUUCAAAAGAUUAAAGGUUCAUCCACAAGCAGGAAGAAAUAGUCAGCAGUCCUUCCAUAUUCAUGUACAGAAUGCAAAAUGGCUAAUCAAACUACUAUAUACCUAUGCAAUAUUGACAGCUGGAGUAUGAGUCGCAUCCUGAGACCACCUUGCAUUGCAUAGGCAUCUCAAUCAUUUCUUUGGCGUGAGUCCAUCCCUCCCACAUCCCCUGGACACUACCUUUCCCCAAUGACUGGAAUGUGAAGACUUCUCUGUACUGGAGUUGAACUCUUAUUUAGCUUUACAAUCUAGAUUUCAGAUUUGCUCAUUCUUUUAAUUCCCCUACCAAGAUCCAGAUAAGCUUCCACAAAUAUAUUGUAGAUAGGAAAACACUUUUGGCACUGGCUAGUUAGGAUUACAAUUAUGUGAUGAGAGUAAUUUCGGAUCAUGAUGAGGUAAUCUCACUAGAUACCUGCUCUUGAAAGGUUCACAAAGGAAUAAAAUUGUUGGCUACUCCUGUUUCCAUUUGUUCUUGACAUUGAAGUCAAACAACCAAGUGAUUAGUGUUCAGUAACUGUUAUAGCUAUAUCGUUGAUGCUGGUUACUCUCAAAAAAUGAAAUCCAUUCCCUACUGGCAAUGGAUUAGAGUAGUUAUUUAAGUGUGUGCUCAAUCGUUAGCUUGCUACUUUGACAAGUUUGUGGGAAGUGUCUCUGUCCGAAGCUAAUGAGGAUUAUAGUAACUGUUUGCACAUGAGCACUUGUUUGCAAUCUAGCUAUGCUAAGCUUUCAGGUAUUUCACAAGCACAUGGGUAGGUUGAAUCAGGAGCCUAAAUCAUCUGGGCACAAUCUGAGAGACUUUUUCUCGAGUGAAGAAUCAGAAAGGGAGAAGCCUGAGAUGAACCGUAACUUUUGUUUCUGUUUGUAGCCACUUCGUCCCUGAUAAUGCUAUAAGGAAGAGAGAAUGGUUUUUUCACACCUAGUACUAUUUUUCCUUGUAGCUUCAACCUGUAGCAGGUUUCAAUGAGUGGUAUGAAAACAGGUCAAAAAAUUUCAUUUGUUUUCUCGGUGUGGACAUGUAAAUUAAGGGAAAUGAAAUGCAAUUCUUUGCAAUAGUAUCUUCAUAUCUGAACCUAUGCUUGGGUAUCAAUUUUAGUUGCAUGUGCAACCGGAUAUAAAUAAAUAAAGACACGGUAAUGGUUCACUGCAGAAGCUUCCUGGUUGCCUUUUGAUAACCAAUUGGCAACCUGAACCAAUCACUCGUUAGCAUGUUGUUUUUCUUUCCUUAGGAAAAAACCGCGAUUUCUGUUUACGACACAAGAUUCGACAAGAUACACAGGGUUUUGUUGUAUGCACAGCCAUGAGCUGGAGUCUAUUGAAAAUAACAUAAUGUGACAGCAGUCACGGUUGAUCUCCUCCUCCUCUCUCGGUUUAACCCCGUUGAAGAUUUUUAGAAUCCCCAAAAACCUAAUAGAAUAAAAGAUACGGGGCUUUUAAGAUUUAGAGGGAAAAAUGGAAAAAUUUCAAACUUAGUAAUGACGCACCAUUUGCUAGGUGCGCCACUAGUAACAGAUAAAAAAAUUGGUUUCGAUUUUUUUUUUUGAAAAAAUGUUCAAAAUAUGAUACGUAAUAUGACUGGGAAGUUUGAAAUAUUUUUUAUAUGAAAAAUCAUCUACUUGAAAAGUUACACCUGAAUUCAACAGGGGGGACCCGUUGAAGAUUUUUAGAAUCCCCAAAAACCUAACAGAAUAAAAGAUACGGGGCUUUUAAGAUCUAGAGGGGGAAAAUGGAAAAAAAAUUCAAACUUAGUAAUGGCGCACCAUUUGCUAGGUGCGCCACUAGUAAUAGAAAAAAAUUGGUUUUGAAUUUUUGGUAAAAAUGUUCAAAAUAUGAUACGUAAUAUGACCGGAAGUUUGAAAUAUUUUUUUAAAAUUUCAUCACAUUCUUAACAUGAACAAAGUCCUAGACAUCAACAAGGUUUAAUAGGAUUGAUAUGAUAGAUAUAUCAACAAGUGCCUGUUAAGUGAGCUGGUGCUGGGGUUGAAUAGAACUGAUAAGCCAUGUUGUUAAAGCUGCUUCUAUUGGUCUAGUUUUAUCCAUUGUCGUUUCCAAGGGAUUGAGUCUUCGCCAGCUAGAUGUGAAUAAUGUGUUUCUUCAUGGUGUUCUGAAAGAGGAAGUGUAUAUGAAACAACCUUCUGGGUUUGAGGAUAAGAAUUCACCAUUUCAUGUCUGUAAGCUUGAUAAAGCCUUGUAUGGACUGAAACAGGCUCCCAGAACAUGGUACUCUCUCCUUAGUGCAAAGAUGCAGCAGCUUGGGUUUGUGCCAUCAAAAUCUGACACAUCCUUGUUUAUUUAUAACAAGUUCAAGACAUCCAUAUUUAUUCUCAUAUAUGUUGAUGCUAUCAUUGUAACUAGUUCCUCUAAUGAUGCAAUUGCUGGUUUGCUUAAGGAUUUAAGUUCAAAAUUUGCUCUAAAGGAUCUAGGGGAGUUGCAUUUCUUCUUAUGAAUUGAGGUAAAGAAAAUAAAGGAUGGUAUUAAUCUCUCCCAAGAAAAAUAUGCAAAUGAUUUGUUAAAUAGAGUUGGCAUGAAGGAUUACAAGCCGUCACCUACACCUUUGUCCAGCUCGGUGUCAUUGACUCUGACUCCAGGAGAACUCUUGAAUCAGGAAGAUAAUACCAGUUAUUGGAGUUUUGUUGGUGCUCUUCAGUAUUUGACUCUGACUUGGCCUGAGAUAUCAUUUGCAGUAAACAAAGUUUGCCGGUUUUUGCAUGCACCCACCACUGCACAUUGGACAGCAGCAAAGCGCAUUCUCAGGUAUGUGAAGAAUACAACCAGUCUUGGUUUAGCUUUUAGAAAAUCUUCAUCUACUCGUAUUAGUGCCUUUUCCGAUGUGGAUUGGUCGGUUGUCUUGAUGAUAGAAGAUCCACUGAUGGGUUUGCAAUUUUCUAUGGGCCAAACUUAAUUUCAUGGUGUGCCAAGAAACAAGCAACUGUCUUAAGGUCAAGUACAGAAUCAGAAUAUAAAGCAUUAGCAAAUGCAACAGCUGAGGUGAUUUGGUUGAUGUAUAUGUUGAAGGAACUUGGAAUUCAACAAACUUUGCCUCCUUGUCUCUGGUGUGAUAAUCUAGGCGCUACAUACUUGUCUGCUAACCCCAUGUUUCAUGCCAGGACUAAGCAUAUUGAAAUAGACUUUCACUUUGUGAGAGAACGAGUUGCAAACAAGCAGUUAGAAAUCAGAUUUAUCCCCUCCAAGGAUCAGCUUGCAGAUGGGUUUACAAAAGCAUUGUUAGCUAGAGGCUUUGAAGAGUUCAAACGUAAUCUCAACUUGGAGCGCAAUUGUAAUUAAGGGAGGGUAUUGGACAUAACAUAAUGUGACAGCAGUCAUGGUUGAUCUCCUCCUCCUCUCUCGGUUUAGCAUGGCUCGUGUGCCAAGGAUAGCUAGAGGUAUAGAUAGAGUUUGUUAUAGUUUAAAGUAGUUCGAGAUUAUAUCCCUUCUUCUGUUUCUACUCAAAUCGAACAUUGUAAUCCUCGGUUCUCUCGUUCUAUCAAUAUAAACCCGCAGGCUCUCCUCUGAAGGGUUGAGACGCUUCAUCAUCUUUCGCAAAGUCAGCAGAACACAGGCCCUUGCUGAAGAAGUAACAUCCUUGGAGUGGUUCAUCAGGGAGUACUCAUUGACUUGCGUCCAUUAAUAUACAGUAACGGGGAAACAUAUUGAACGAUCAAACUCUACUAACUGUUAGGAAUUAAUUAAUAAAUACAUUAAUUAAGGGAUAAUCCCUGCUAUGUCGGUUGCUUUAGUUUAGCAACUGCUCCUUGUAACCGCCUUUGUACUCGGGUAUAUAUACCCACAUCUUCAAUCAACGAGAGAGCGAUUUUCAUCAUUUGCUCUUCUUCUCUCUUUUAUUCUUCACAUGUUAUCAGCACGCCUCUGCAAGAGCGUUAGGCCACAUGACAAGAGAGAAGCAGCGAUGAGGCCAUGCUCGCCGUCGGCGAGACUAUGGUGCACGACGGAGACGGGGAUGCAACGCGGCGACCUUUGUCCCGACACUGCUCCUCCCGGCGCAGCACUCCAUGGCGUGUUGCGCCCAACGACGUGGCACCACUUGGUCUUGACCGAUCGGCAGAACCCGCUGCAGACGCGCUCCCAUCGCGGCUCCCGAUGACGAACGGCCAACAACCAGCGAUCGGAGCAACGAAUCCAUCCUUACACUGUCCCGGACCUCCUGUCCCCGACGCCGGCAGCAGUGAAAACUGGCGGUUACACCGCCGCUCCCGAUCUGAACAACGCCACCAAGGUGGAAGAAGAGGAGACGAAGGGCCAGGGCUCGUCGUCGACGCCGUCGCCUCCUCCAUCACCGGCGACAUCACUACCGCCUCCAACGCCACCCCUCCUCCCGACGCCUCCACCGGUGGUGCGCCGCAUCCUGCAGUAGUUCGCCGCGGCCAUGGCGCAGAUCCGCGCAGCCGUCCGGGGCGCGUGGUCGCCGGUGGCCCUCACCCUCACCGACGCCCCCGGGUCGAGCAACAACGGCGGGGGCGGUGCGGUGACAAGGGGAUCACGCCACCUCCCUUAAGACGACGGCAUGGGGUAGGGGAGGGCCGGCGUGGUGAGGUGUUGUGCACCAGAUCGAUCUGAGAGUGGGGAACGGGUGUAACGACGUGGGGAAACCCUCGUCCGUGCGCUCCUUAUCCUUUCCUUUGUGGAUGCAUGGGCCAGCCCAAGUCAUAACGUUCCUCACCCAAACAGGCCUGCAGCCAAGAAUUCCAAUAAAGUGGAUGCGCGUUGUGGUGUUUUCAACAAAAGAUAACCAUAGUAUUACCAUAUUGCACAGCAGCAUGUUCCUUUUAUUUCAUUGUGAUUUCUUAUUGUAUUAAGAACCUAUUUUUAUCAUAUUCAUUCAAUAUUGUAUUAUACGUUUGAAUAUUUAGACUAUGUAUCGUCUAAAAUAAAAUCUCGAACUAUGUGUACAUAUUCUAUAUGAUUGCCUCAGCAUUUUUUUUAGAAUAUGUAAUUCUCAAAUACAACAUUUUUUUACAAUUCAAAUUUUGGGAUCACAAGGUAGAUGAGGCAUCUACUGCACUUUGCAGAUUAUCCUCAUCGAUGAAAGAUCUACAUUUGCCUCCUUCUUUUGGCAAAAUGACUAUCUUCGAGUGCUCUCCCGAAUAUGUGAAUUGAUGUGACUACCUCAACUUUUUGCGAAUCACAAGGUAAUUGUGCGAUCUACUGCAUAAUUUGCAGACUAUCCACUAUUACUGCAAGGUCUACAUCAUGUCACAUUGACAGAUGAUUACCUUUAAAGUAAUUUUACAGAUUUAGCAUAACAUAAGGUAAUAGAAUUAUAAACAUCUACUGACAAAAGUUAGACUAUGUUUUCUAUUACUAAGAGAUCUAUACCAUAUUGGUGAUUAUCUUCAAAGUGUCAUCCUAUAUAAAUUGAGGUCUACACAUAUGGCUAUAAGGCAUCAGCCGUACUAAAAUUUGCUCCUCUGAAGCAUUUAUUGUUGUUGUUCACUAAAAUAUAUUACGCUCAUAGUAAAAUAUCAUUCAUGCAUAGUCACUACAGGCUGAAAUAGUAUUUUUGUGCCAAUAUGAAUUAUUCAAGCCUCAAUUUUCUUGAAUAGGUCUUCAGAAAUUAUGCAAAUAUUUGCAUACUCCAACGAUUACCUUUUAUUACAUUGGUAAAAUGCAUGGCACUGAAGCCGAUGUCAUUAUUUCUAAUUACAGCGACGUUCGUCCAUCAAGACGGGUACCAUAAUUUAUGGCAACGAUUGAGUGUAUCAACACUUCCGGAAGGUCCACAUCAAAAUGUGGUUAUACUUUCAUAGUUACUAACCAAUGUUAAACAUGCAAAGUCUAUACAUUUUGGAGUGAAAUAAAAUCUCACACUUCCUCAAGAAUGAAGUCCAAAACAUUAGCAAUGAUUUCAUCGCAUGCACUAUAUUGAAGGUUUACACCCCAUGUUCACCAAGCAUCACCUUGGCGGAUUUUGGUCAACAAGAUCAUUUCAUCCAUAUAGUUUAUUUUACUCCAAGAAGUAAAUUAAAUAAUGCAUGAUCAUUUCAUGUAACACAUGGCUAUUCUAUUGAUGCACAUAUGCAUUUUAUAUGUCACCAACUUCACUUGGUUCUCGAACUAAGUACACAAUGAAUGAAUACAUAUUCACCUUGAAUAUUCGCUUAAGAGAAACAUGCUACCAUGAGCACAUCGCGAAUGAUCUCCCAUUAGUUUUUUCAAAGACAUCAAGUCUUAUCGUGACUCACAAUUAUGUCACCUUAAUCAAUUUCAAGUUGAGAUCUCAUGAUCAAAAUCUUCAUAUGCAUAUCCGAUUGAAAAUCCAUUAAUACACUUUACAUCCUCUAAUGAUGGUGCUACCAUUUUCCAUGAUGAAGGAACAUGGAAUUUCUCAAAAUCAUCAUAUUCACCCAACGGGUGCUAUACCAUUAUUUCAUAUAUUUGCUAGUAGUGAGAAUACUAAGCAAGUCACUGAUCACAAAAUAAAACCAUGAGGAAUUCAAAGUAAAGUGGAGGCUAAAGACAACCAAUGACAGAACUACCUUUUAAUUAGGAAUUGAUCAUUUUUAAUGAUCACAAAGACAACUCUCAAGUUUGCGUAAUUCAUUUUUCAGUAAUAUGGGAGACCUCAUGUAAUAUCCUGAUUAUUCCCAAAAUAUUGUUUGCCUGUACUUAUACUACUACAUGUAGUGCAAUAUCCAAUAUCCUAUUUCUUGGACAUUAUAUUUGAUAAAAGUUUUGAAUGCAUGAAUCAUAUCAUACUCAGUUUUGUUGCGUACAAAAUAAUUUUCUAAAUCUUACAGAAUAUUUGGCUUUAAGCCUUACAAUCCUGGUUUGUGGUUGAUUAGAAAAAAUAUUGGCAAUUCUAUUGGUCACAACUUUUUAAGUUACAAUAUUUCCCAAAUCAUCAGAUUUUAUAUGCACUACAUGUGCCAUAGGGAAAAUAAGUUUUAAGGCUCUUUCACCUUACAAUUCCAAACGAGCCACUCAUUCUUCCUUGAACACAUUCAGAAGAUAUGUGGAUUACUCAACCAUUAUGUUGUCCUAUAUAGAUACUUCAUGGCACUCAUGGGAACAUUUAUAAAAUGAUUUCAAGUGUGUCUCUUGUCACACAGAACCAUGAAUGACCUUACCAAAUUAAUCGCUCAACUUAUCAAAGUAAGAGCAAAUUAUCCUGGACAACGGAUAUACCCAUUUGAAUGGACAACUUCGUUGAGCUCAUUUCACAAGAAAUAUCUGAUUAUAUAUAAUACUUAAUGUACAUACACAGAAUGGUUUAGUUCAAUAUCUUAUCAAGGGUAGUGAAAUUAGUAAUAUGACCAAACUUAUAGAUUUGUAAUUUACUAGCCUCUUGCUAGAUAAAUACGACAUUACACGCCGUAAGUAUAUGAUAUAAAUCAUACCCUUUGUAGUAAUUAUGUGGAAAUCAACAAAGUAUUUCCUAUCUGCGAUAAUUCGGUUACAUACCGAUAUCACCACUCCAACAUACAUCAAUGGGCCCUCACAAAAACUAAUAAUAAUUAGGGAUCUAUGUGAGGAAUAACAAUUUAUCCGUCAAUCAAAAUUAUUCAUAGCCCGUAUGCUGAUUGCUUCAGCAAUAAGGACAUUUCUGGCAUUAGGGGAGAUAAGUACCACAAAGAAUGCCAAAAAUAAAUUAGAAAUAUUGUUCAUAUUCAAUCCUUAUAUCCACAUACUCAAAGAAUCUGAAUAAGAAGUUUAGAAUCACAUAUUUGCAACACAUUGCAAAUCUGCCACAUGCAUUUACUGAUGACAAAGGUGUCACUCAAAUUUAUAUUCCUACAAUAUAGUGUCAGAAAGAGUGGAGGUACCUGAUAAACCACUCUUCUCCCCAAAUGAGAGCAAUAGGGGGAGAAAUCUAACCACAUGAGAUAUAAUCUCGCAUAUGCUUCCGCGGAAACAGAGGAAAUCAAAUCCUCAACCAGUAAAUGUAAUUCAACAUCAAGUUGAAAGACACCUCACUCGAUGCUCAUCAUCCAAAGCCUGACAUAAAUGUGCACAAAUGUUUUGGUGUGAGGACAUCGAAACACCUUGACUCCAUUGUUGUAGGAAAUCACAAGGAGUUAAAAGGAAUAAAUACAUUUCCACAAAUUUCAUUGAUUCCUCGCGAAUCAUAUAACAUAAGUCUACAUUUAUCGACAUAUAUUUCUUCUCAAAAAUUGCUAAAACCUUUUGGGCCCUGAACCAAAAUCCAUGAUAGAGUGCCUCUUGUGAUCAUAUUGGUUCACAUAAAAGGAAGCAAGUACUGAAGAAUAGCACUCGCUCUACAAACGAGUGGUAUUUACCACAGUAAUAUCUACUCCUCAUAAGUAUCUUCCAUAUGGAAUACUAAAAACUUCUCAUUCAUAGACAAAGUCAAUGAGGUGGUGAGAAAGCGAGGCUUAUAGCAAAAGGGUUCACGCAGAGACCCAACAUAAAAUUAUGAUGUAACAUACACUCUUGGUAUGAGUGGAAUUAAGUUUCGAUAAUAAAUAUCAUUAGCAGUACAAAUAAUAUUAUCCAUGCAGUUAAUGGAUGCAGUAACUACAUACUCAUAUGAGUUACUCAUUUUGGAAAUUUAUAACGAAGUCCCUGAAGGGCUUACAAUUCCAAAUCCAAAAUAAAUCGCAACAUAUUUGUGUAAAAUUUCAGAAGUCACUCUAUGGCUCAAAAUAGUCAAAAAUAAUAUGGUACUACAGACUAAAUGUUUUUCUUCUUCCGAAGGAUUACUCAAAGAAUGAUGAUUGUUUAUGUGUUAACAAAGGAAUCCCAAAUUUGAAUUCCUUAUAUCGCCUCAUUGUAUAUCGAUGAUUUCAUCAUCUAUGUAUCUACAAGACCUAAACAUACAUAAAAUCAUCUCAAGACGGAAAAUUUAGAUUUAACCAAAUUUAGCUUAAGUUUACAACCUGGGCAUUCUAUCAAGAAUACGUAUUAGUCUACAUAUAUCCAAAACAUAUACGAGAAGUUCAGUGUGGAUAUAUCAUAAUAACAAAAGACAUGUAUAGUCAUACUACCUUUGAUAAGGUACAAAUUCAUUCAUACCUAGGGGUGAUGUUGAAGUGAUACUAGGACCUGAAGUUCUAUAUCUCACUAAUGUCAAAGGACUCGUAUACUUGCAAACUACGUCAAGCGUGACACUAUAUUUGCUAUCUUUAUUCGGAGUGCAACCCCCAACAAUAGGUAUAUGAUUGAUAUAAGUAAUAUCAUAUUAUAUCUGAAGAUUUUAGUAAAUCUUGGAUAUUUCCAUCAGGAAAUAGAACAUAUGACCAUGAUACGAUGUAAUGAUAUUGGCUCUUUAUUUGAUCCAAACAACACCAUGUGAAUGACUGAAUUUGCUACAAUAGCCUACAUAUGGAAGUCAUGUAAAUAUGACUUUAAUGAUUAUUCCCACUUAUCAUUUUGACAUAAUUGCUUUAUCUAAAAGCAUUGCAAGAUAUGUAUGGCUUGGCAGAAUGAUUUACCACAUUCAAAAUCAUGUGGUUGAGAUUCAUCAGAAUCACAUAACUUGAUUUAUCAAGAUACUUUCACUUGUGUUACUCAAUACCUAUAGGUUAUAUGAAGAGCAAUAUCAUAAAUCACAUUACUCGGAAAUUACUUAUCCUCACGGAUUAUAGAAAAGUGAGGAAAUAAUUUGCAAAUAAAAUACUAUGAUAAUCCAAGAGAUUAUACACAAUCUCAUGUUCAUGUCAAUGGAAUUGGUAUGUGACAUCCUCCAUAUUUGCAAAGUUCACGAGGAGUAAUCUCCCAAACUAUAACCUAUUAACAAUCAUCAGAUUGCAUAUAUUGUAUGCCUUUUCCCUUGAUGAGUUUUUUUUCCUAAUGGUUUCUCAUAAAAGGUUUUUACCGAGACAAUAUAAACACAAGUGUUUGUAUAUACCAUAUCAUUUUCUCCUUAUAUUUUUCCCACUGGAUUUUAAACGAGUUUUCAAUGACAUGUCAGAUGCACUCUUUUCCUUUAUGAGUUUUCUCUCAAAGUUUAUCAUAAUGGUUUUUAAUGAGGCAAUAUGUUAUCAAACAUCAUAUGUUAUACUUUCUAUUUUCCUUAUCGGGGUUUUUAAAGAAAGUACUCAAGACAUAUCAAUUAUUCUCUAAACUCACCAAUGAGUUUUCUCCUUCUACAAAGGUUUUCUCAAAUGAGUUAUCACGAGACAAUAAUCAUUAUAUGUUGUAUCAUUUUCUCCUUAUUUUUCUCACGGGGUUUAAAGGAGUUUUAGCAACAUAUCUAUACUAUUCUCCUCAUAUUUUUCCCACAGGGUUUUUGGAGGAGACGUUAAAGAUUAUACAACGAUUUCUCAAGAUGAAGAUGAUGAACAUUCUCAAAGGCAAGAACAUACAAGGAGUAUAUUUAUCAAGAUGAUGCACAUUUACAAAGACAAGCAUUGAUUAGGGAAAGUGUUAGGAAUUAAUUAAUAAAUACAUUAAUUAAGGGAUAAUCCCUGCUAUGUCGGUUGCUUUAGUUUAGCAACUGCUCCUUGUAACCACCUUUGUAUUCGGGUAUAUAUACCUACAUCUUCAAUCAACGAGAGAGCGAUAUUCAUCAUUUGCUCUUCUUCUCUCUUUUAUUCUUCACACUAACCACGAGGUGAUAGAUUCGAGCCAAGUCACCCAUUUUUCAGUUUCGCAAUGUACGUCUGCUCUGCUUCCUCUGCCUACGCGGCGGCUCUUCCGCCACUAUCACUAAACUACGACUGAUCUGAAGCGAUGCCGCGGCACCGACACCGACACCGGCCGGUUGGACCUGGAAUGCUCACGUGGCUCUUCUGCGUCCAGGUCAGGAAGGAAAACAACGCCUUGCCAGUUGCCACGUGAACGUGAGGAGUGCAGUGAGCAGCUCAAGACUGAAUGAAGACUUGGUGUGAUAUUUGAAGCUGAGCCUUUCUUUUCCUAUUUCGCUUGCGCCACCGGGUUCUUAGCUGACAGCGACUUGUUAAGUUCCAUCAUAUCCGUUGGAGCCAUCGCUACAUUUGUAGCCACUCGUCAAAUCCUUUCUACUAGUACUCAGCUGAGCUACCCAGCUCAAUCUUUUCACUUUUCAGAUUUUUCAUUUUUCACAUGAUGCCUCUCUGCCAGAAUUUGUCCUUGGUGGUUUAAUUUCUGAGAUUUUACGAAUCCGUGCGAUGGUAAAGCUUUGUCAGGACUUUCACCACCGUGCACCGUACCCGCAAAGCCAUCGCUCACGGACAGGUCUCAGACGAAGCCUAAGAGCAAUUCCAACGCACCAAUCCAAACGGACGACUAUUUGUCCAUAUUUUGUCCAUUUAUAAAUCGGCCCGAUAGACAUCUGGAUCUCUUUUUGAAAUUGAUUCGUCACUUGCUCCUAACACGGUCAAUGACCCAUGUUUAGACGACACGAAAAAGUCAUAAGAAACAUUUUAAAAAUACAUGAAAUAUUAAUUAACAUUUAAUGCCGGUUUGGAAGGUCGGUGAUAGUCCACGUUACAUUAAACGUACAAUUAAAUAAACUAAAAGUGAGGAAGCGUGCUGCCUUAGGCAUCCUCCUCCUUGUCGUCAUUGGGGCCGGUGAGGUCGACGAGCGUCGGCGCCGGGCCAGUCCAGGGGAAGGUCAUCUCCCACGUGGCGGAAACGUCAUCCGUCGAUGGUUGCACCGGCGCUUGCUGGGUAGCACGUCGCCCCUCCUCCUCGGCUCCGGACUCGCGCAACAUCAACUCGAUCUGUCGGGCCUCUGCGUCCUCCUUCCUCACCCGCGUCGCACCCAACCAGACGGGGGCACACUGACCCACUCACGCACCACCCCGUCCUAGGCACCACCCCGUCCUAGGCGUACAUCUCGGGCAUGAGGACCAGCAACCCUGACUCGGAGGGAGGCGGCGAUGCCAACAGUGGCAGGACGCAGUCGCCAAUAGUGGAGAGCGCAAUGGCCUCCGAUAGCUGCUUCUUGUAGGCCUCCUUCUCCUCCUCCUUCUUCAGGCGCACCUCCUCCUCGCUCGCACACAGGACGACCGCCAGGGCGUUCUGGUACGCCACGUCCGCCUCCUGGUCUUUUUCGUGCAUGACGAGGGGCGACGGCGGCCUAGCCACCACCUCGUGGACUAAAAUGUAGUUUUGGCUACGAGUGUUAUGUUCCAUAAUUGAGCGCUCGAUCUUAACACGAUCGGGGUUGUUAUGGGGACCCCCUUGAUAAUUCGUUUUAGUUUAAGACUGGUUUGGCAAGGCCCAACUUUGAUACUACAUUUUCCUAAUAAUUAAUGAACCUCAUAGGGAGUAAUUAACCCGAGGAAAUUUAAUCAACCCCGGGCCAGUGCUCCGCAUGAGUGUUGGUCCAAACUGGCACACUACGGGGCCACAGCGGGGCAACCCGAGGUUUGGUUUUACUCCUAGUGUGACCCAUCCGUCGUGUCCCGAGAACGAGAUACACGGCUCCUAUCGGGAUCGUCGACACAUUGGGCGGCCUUGCUGUAUUAGUUUUACUUUUGAUGAAAUAUCUUGUGCAUUGGGAUUCCGGUGAUGCUUUGGGUAAUCUGAGAGCUGAGGUUUUCCACUAAAGAAUCUGAGGAGAUAACGAGUUUCGUGAUCGAGGCUUUCUAAGCGGCUUGUGGUAAUUUGUGAUGGACUAGUUGGAGCACCCCUGCAGGGUUAAAUCUUUCGAAAAGUUGUGCCCGCGGUUAUGUGGCAACGUGGAAACUUUGUUUAACAUCCGGUUCUAGAUAACUUGAAGUAAGCUUAAUUAAAACUUGCCAACUGAGUGUGUAACCGUGACUGUCUCUUUUCUGAGCUCCUUCUCCGAUCGAGGACACGGUGGGGUUAUGUCUGACAUAAGUACGUGUUCAAGAUCAUUAACUUGAUCAUCAGUAGUUCACAUCCGCUAUGCGUAGAUCUUCUCCCUCUUUUAUUCUUGUACUCGUAAGUUAGGCACCUCAAAUAAAUGCUUAGUCACUUGCUGCAGCCUCACCACUUAAUCAUACGUCACCCAUUAAGCUUUGCUAGUCUUGAUACCUUUGGAAAUGAGAUUGCUGAGUCUCCUGUGGCUUACAAAUUACUACAACACCAGUUGGUGGCACAGGUAAAGAGUUACUUUGACGUGAGCGCGUCGAUUGUUCUAUUUGGAGUUCUUCUUCUCCUUCUUCGAUCUAGGAUGGGUUCCAGACCGGCAGCCUGGGAUAGCAAAGAUGGACGUCGUUCUUUUAUCGUUUGUUUUCGUCCGUAGUCGGAUCAUGCUCUUCUUCAGGAUGACUGAAUAUUAUUGUAUUAAUGUGAAUUUGAUGUAGCUUGUGGCGAGUGUAAGCCAAUUCCAUAUACUAAUCUUUUCAGUACAUGUACUUGUAACGAUAUCCAUUCUUGCAAAACGACGAGAUGCGUUUAUAUCCCUGUCGAGGCCCUCGCGUCAAAAUAAGGAUAAGACCGCAUCUUGGGCGUUAUCCCUUGAUACUUGCACAUUUGGCUUUACAAUCUAGAUUUAAGAUUUGCUCUUUCUUUUUUACCUUACAAGCUCCAAAUGAGCUUUUCCACAAAUAUAAAGCAGACAUGAAACACUUCUGCCAUUUCCAAAUGAGGACUACCAUUAUGUCAUGAACGUAAUUUAGGAAUGAUGGCAUGUUCUUGGAAGAUUAGCGAGGGAAUAAAAUUGUCGGUUGAUUUUGGUUUCUUCUGUUUUUGACAUUGAAGCCAAACAACCUAGUGACAUAGUCUUUGAAUACUUUGAUCGCUGUGUUUUUUAUGUUGUUCACUCCCACAAAACUGAAACCCGUCCUCAGAACUCUCGGGUUCCCUCAUGGCAAUGAAUGAAGUUGUCAUUUAAGCUUGUGCUCAAUUGCUAGAUUGCUACUUUGAUAAGUUUUUGUGGCAUGUUCCUCUGUCCCAAGUCUAUGAGAACUAUAAUAAUAGUUUUCACAUGAGCACUUGUUUGCAGUCUCUCCAUGCUAAGCUUUCAGGAAUUUUAGAAGUAAAUGGGCGCUUUGAUUCAGCAGCGCGGGUCGUGUGAAGAAAUUUGGUCUGCCAUGCAAUGCACCGCGGUCCGCAGAUGUUGUUUUUUUCCUUUCCUUGAAUGGCGAAUCAGUAAGGCCUUGUCUGGUACUAGUGUAUUUUAGGGAAUUAGUGGGGAUUAUCCCAGUCAACCCCCUAAAUCCCCACAUAUCCCAUAACACUAUUUGGUUUUAGUGUAUUUAACAUGUUUCAUCCUCACAUUUCCCCACAAAUCCUCAAAUUCUAGUGCAUUAUUCUCAAUACACAAUACACUACCCCUAGCUAGUGGAUUGGGGAUAAAUGAGGAUUUGAAGGGAUUGGGUGAAGGUUGGGAUUUCGCUCAAUCCCUAUAAGGAUUAUCCCCACCAAUCUUCUCAAAAACCUUAGUACCAAACAAGCGUAAGGGAGGAAGAAGGCUGAGAUAAAUCAUAGCCCUGUAUCUCCAUUUGUAGCAAUAAUGUAUAGUGAAGAAAGAAUGUGCAAUGCUCCCAUGUGUUUCUUUCAUUAAUUUGUACUAGCUUCUGUAGUGCCUGGCCUAUGAAUCAAUUGUACUAAAACGGACCAAUCUUUUGAUUCACUCUUGUCAGUAUGGACAUCUAUUUUCAUCGUCCACAAUUCUUAUUUCGUUGCAACACCAUCGUAUCACAACCUGUUGACUGCUGUGUUGUUGGAUGUCACACUGAAUGCCUGUUCAUGCAGAGUAGUUUGGACUGGAAGAUAUUUUAAAAAUCUACUCCAGUAGACAUGAGUCCUCUAAUUUAAAAAAAAUCUAUUCCAAAUUUCCAAUAGAUACAAAGAGAAGUGGAAAAGAGUAGAACGACCCACGCGAAUGAAAACAAGAUUUUUUUUUUGAAAAGGAGGAACUUAGCCCCGGCCUCUGCAUCAAUUGAUGCAUGCAGCCAUCUUAUUAAAAUAGGUUCAAAACAAUGUCUUAGCUCCACAAGUUUUUGAAGCUCAAUAAUGAAAAGAAAGAUAAAAUGAAAAGCAAACUGCCAUAUCCGGCGUCAUUAAAAGCAGACUACGAUGCCUAUACACCUAGUCUAUUAUUAGCACGCCAUCCAAACCGGCUGAAGAUAGCCCGUGCGACCAUCUCCCAUCGGUUGCAUCCAAUAUCCAUAAGCUCCCUGGAGUCCGCAUGACUGAGUAACGACCACGUAUGGAUCCAAGACGCCGCUCUGAAGAUAAUCUGUAAAAAGUUGUUGAAGUUCUUGCCAUUAAAGAUGAUAUCAUUCCUGGUAUUCCAUAUAGCCCAAAAUAAAGCACAAACCCCAAUUCUGAUAAUUUUCGAUAUUUUAAUGUCCACUUCAUUGAGUCACGUUGUAAGUAACGAAGUAAUGUAUGAAGGAGGGGAAACAUUAAAGGCUAUAUGAACAAUGCGCCAUAGUAGUUUUGCAAGAUUGCAGUCUAGAAAUAAGUGUCUUAUUGUUUCAUUGUUAUCACAACAACAACAAUUAGGUCUCCCUCCCAUCUUCUUUUUAUUAAGUUAUCUUUGGUUAAUACCACCCCUUUGUGUAUGAACCACAUAAAAAAUUUAAUCGUGAGAGGCACUUUGAUAUUUCAAAUAUGUAGUGAUUUGGGUAGUGGUCCGGUGUUAAUGAGAUGCGUGUACAUGGAUUUUACUGAGAAUUCACCAUUCGCAGCUAAAGUCCAGCGAACACUAUCUGUCUGGUCAGAUAAUUGUAUGUGCAUCAGUCUGCUAACCAGAUGUAACCAUUCGUUCCAGCGUGCUCCCAGCAAAGCUCGCCUGAACUGCAUAUUAAGAGGUACCGACUGUAGUACCGUAGACACAUAGUCUUGUUUACAUUGUGCAAUAUUAUAAAGCAUUGAAUAUUCUAGUGCUAAAGGAGUGUCCCCAAGCCAAGUAUCUUCCCAAAAUCUUGUUGAGGUACCAUCCCCAACCACAAAUUUGACCUUCUGAAAAAAGUGACCUUUAUCUUCAUUAACCGUUUCCAGAAUGGUGAGUCGUUUGGUCUAGAUGUAACCUGCGCUAGUGUCUUGGAAUGUAAGUACUUAUUCCUUAAUAUUUGAACCCACAUCCCCUCGGUCUCUGUGGGAUAUCCCGUAUAGCCAUUUGCUAAGUAGGCAUUUGUUAUUUACUUUCAGAUUUUCUAUUCCCAAAACCCCUUGAUAUAUUGAUCUACAUAUAAUAUCCCAACGUGUCAACCUGUAUUUCUUCUUAGCCUCCUCACUUUUCCAGAAAAAAUGAGAUCUGUAAAAAUCUAAUCUUUUUCGUACCCCUAUUGGUACUUCAAAGAAAGACAAUAGGAACAUGGACAGACUUGUUAACACAGAGUUUAUUAGUACUAGCCUCCCCCCGUAAGACAUAAGCUUGCCCUUCCAGCAACUUAGUUUUAUUUCGAACCUAUCUUCAAUACAUUUUCAUUCCUUAUUCGUCAGACUUUUAUGAUGAACAGGAAUCCCCAGAUAACUAAACGGUAGUGAUCCCAUUUCACAUCCAAAUAGCCGUCUGUAAGCAUUUUGCUCCUCUUUUGCCUUCCCAAAGCACAAGAGUUUGCUUUUAUUGAAAUUAAUUUUCAGCCCCGAAAGAUGUUUAAAUAAACAUAAAAGUAGUUUCAUAUUCCUCGCUUUAGCCAUAUCGUGUUCCAUGAAAAUUAUCGUAUCAUCCGCAUAUUGUAGUAAUGAUACACCCCCAUCUACCAGAUGCGGAAUAAGGCCUCCCACUUGACCCUUUUCUUUGGCCCGAUUAAUGAGUAUUGUCCACAUGUUUGCUACAAUGUUGAACAACACUGAGGACAUGAAAUCAUCCUGUCUUAAUCCUUUGUGUGUUUUAAAGAAAUGGCCAAUGUCAUCGUUAACUUUAAUCCCCACACUGCCUUUCUGAAUGAAAGUAUCAACCUGAUCUCUCCAUCUUUCAUUGAAUCCUUUCAUACGUAAGGCCUGUUGAAGAAAUGGUCAUUUCACUUUAUCAUAUGCUUUUUGGAAAUCCACUUUAAAGAUAAUCCCAUCUAGUUUCUUUGAAUGAAUUUCGUGCAGCGUUUCAUGCGGGACAACAACACCCUCUAAGAUGUGUCUCCCGGGCAUAAACGCCAUCUGCGUUGGUUGGACUACUGAAUGAGCUAUCUUCGUUAACCUAUUCGUGUCAACCUUUAUAAAAUUAUUGAAGUUGACAUUGAGCAAACAUAUCGGUCUGAACUGCUCUAUGCGUACAACCUUCGUCUUCUUGGGCAAUAACGUAAUUGUUUCAAAGUUAAGAUGUAAUAGCUGUAACUGGUCAUUAAAUAAAUUUUGGAACAUAGGCAAUAAAUCUUGGAAUGAAAACAAGAGUUGAUGUCUCUUUUUCUAAUAGAUACAGAGAGAAGUGGAAUAGCAUUGUAUCUCAACCUGCUGACUGUUGUGUUGUUGGAUUUUGAUGUCGCUCAGACUGGUUGCUUGUUCAUGUGGAGAAAGAGGAUUGAAAAUGUUUAUUCCAAUAGAUAAUAACAGAGAAAAAUGAAAAAGAGUAGAACGACACAGGCGAAUGAAAACACGAGCUGGUCUCUCUGUUUUUAGAAGAAGAAAAAAAGAGAUCUCAUGUUCUUUUUUUUAAGGCAAAAACAGAUCUCAUGUGGACUCGGUAGCCAAUCUUGGGCUAUUAUCCGUGGGCCUGACUUACGGGUCUGGGCCUUGCAGGGCUAUUCGGGCUCUUGUUGGUCCUGUCAUCGUUUCCCUUGGAAAGAAAAGAAACCCUCCAGUCGUCGCCGGUGACGAGGUCCACAAAAUACACAAGGCGGGGGCCGGCGACGGAAGCUAUGGGCUCUGGAUUCUCCUGCGUGAUCUCCGCACGCGACUCCACUCGGUAAGCCCUCCUUCUCUUCCUGGCCGGCGCACGGACCUACAGUUAUUUUGCAAUAUUUGGGAAGGAUUCCUCUGUUUCGUCAUUUUUUUUCUUCGAAAAUCUGCCCCUAGGAUCUCUAUUUUUCAUUAAAAAGGAAGAGGGUUGUCCGGUUGAUAAACGAAAAACGGGCUAAAACCGUUACAACAACCCACACAUGGCAAACCGGCGGACUACAAAGGCUGCAGAGAAGAACCACAAAGUCAAGGUCGUCAGGGUUUCGAUGCAAGCUUCAGAUUCAGACUGCCUGUGUUGCAUGCUUUUAUAGAAAGAAAGAAUAACUGACAGAGUAGUAAAGCUCAUUUGCCCUUGCCGGUGACCAAAUCAAAGAAUCGCUUCAGCCUCGGACUUAAUCCUUUCUUGUCCUACCUAUCAGAAGCAAGCAGACAAGGUGUUCUAAAGCUGAAGCUGCACUUAAAAGGUGACUCACAUCACCUUCAGAAUCAGCACUGCCACACGAUUCCUUGUGAUGGUUACCCCUUGCCCACUAAUUCCUUUCCUCUGUUUACAGAAAGGCAUGCUACCGGAGGCGAGCAAGCAUAUAUGCACAAAUGCUUUGCUUCAUCACCCCACAAAAAGAGAAACAGAAUACGUGUUGCCUUUGUUUUCUUGCCUUGUAGUGUUUGCACCAAACAUAGGAUCAACAAAGCAUCAAUAACUCUCACUGUUUGCAUAACAAGAAUUUUAUCAGCUCACUGCUAGGUGCCGAUCGAUGAUGGAUUAAUUACCCCAUUACCGUCGAAUUCCAGUUGAUGAUCGACGGCAUUAUUUUGUAAUUCUGUGAAUCUUAGAAACAGGUUUGAUGUACCCAGCGGCAUCGGGUACUAUACAUGUUGUGUAGUAUUAGUGGUGCCCGUCACGAGAUUUAAUAAUGCAAGUCUUUGCUUGUUCUCCCUGUUUCGCAUCUGUAAAUUUUAAGCUUCUUGCACCUAUAAAUAUCGCCUCCCAAGCUUCUUGCAUAUCCGCCAUCUACCCUCUCUGAUAACAACACUUUGCAGUGCAGUGUGGCCUGACCUCCGGUUCUCCUGGUAAGCAUACAUGAAAUUAUUUUCAAUGAACAUUAGUACUCCAAACCCUAGCGAAUAGAUUAAAUUCAAAAUAGGUUCCAAACUCCAACAUAGACUUGGUGCAUGAUUGAGAGCCGAGUCUUGUUUCUCUAUUCACUGGGAUUAGUUUAAUUCAUAUAUCACUUUCCUCCUCUUCUGUUCUCAUGAAUGCUCGUGCCUAUAUAUAGCCUCCCUUCUGCUACGCACAACUCCCACACACACACACAUCUGCCAUCCAUCUGCCCAAACCCUCUCCGACUUUCUGCCAGUACGUGAACUCAGCUGUGAAGACAUUCGAAGUUCUUACCGUUGGCGACCCGGCACGCGGAAGCGCAAGUGUAUGUAUGCCGUUCUACUUUUUUCUCUGGUAGUGGAUAUUAAAUAUUAAUGAAUCCAUAUUACUGUCUGGUUAUGGUGACUAACUGCAUUUGCAAAUGAAUUCAUCUUCUUGAAUAUGCAGCAUACGUGAAGAUCGUUACUGGUACCACCUGUGCGGGCGUGAGAGAUGGAUCUGGCCCUUAACGCGGCGCAGUGGGUGGUUGGCAAGGCGCUUGCCCCAGUUGCCGAUGGCUUGCUCCAGUCUUGGGCUGGCAGCAACCAGCUCGGACCCAACAUGGAGGCUCUCAGAAUGGAGCUGCUACUCGUGAAGGCCACGCUGGAAAAUGCCGGUGACAAGCAGCUCGACGGCCGCCAAGCCCUCGAGGAGCUGCUGCAAAAGAUGCAGGACUUGGCUCAUAAUGCUGAGGACGUGCUUGACGAGCUGGAUUAUUUCCGCAUCCAUGACGAGCUCUAUGGCACCUGUGACGCUGCCAACGAGGACACUAGAGGUUGUGGCCACAAUGUCCUCCUGAAUGCACGCCACACCGCCAAAGCUGUUGGCAAGCUGCUUUCGUGUACAUCCGCUUCUACCUCUGGUGAUCACGUAGAAGAAGAUGCAACACAUCGUGUUCUUUGCUGCGCUCCACCUCGUGCCAGGGAGAGAGCACGCGGCAGUUCCUCCUCAGCGGCUGGUGAGGAGGUUAGCAGCCGCAUGAGCAAGUUUGGUAAAUUCUUCCCUUGCUCUUCCAUUCCAAAAGUUCAUGAUGAUGAUGAUUCUGGCAACUCAAUCCUUUCUGGUGUCCACGCACGCAAGGUACCACAGAACAACCCCGCUAACGAAACAACAAUCUUGAGAUUUCAUAGGGUGGAUGUCUCUAAUAGAAUGAAACAAAUUGUAGAGCAACUACGACCCAUGCGUCAAGAGGUUACAACCAUCCUGCGGGAUUGUAGGCUUAGAAUUGCUGCAGGCCCUGCCCAUAAUCGUCCCACCACAACCUCCGAAAGUCUAGAGCCAAAAUUGCAUGGGAGAGACCAUAUGUUGAAUAGCAUCAUCCAUGACAUUACUAAGGGUAAAUAUUGUGGGAAGGAUCUGACUGUGCUUCCACUGGUUGGCCCGGGAGGCAUAGGAAAGACAACUCUCACACAAUACAUACAUAAUGCACAAGAAGUGCAAAACCAUUUUGAGGUAGUGGUUUGGACAUGUGUAUCUCUAGAUUUCAACCCGAAUAAGUUGCUAGAAGAGAUUAAAGGAAAAAUCCCUAAUGUUGAAGGGGAAAAGGAGGGUGAAGUAGGGAAGGUGAUUGAACAAAGACUAAAAUCUAAAAGGCUUUUACUUAUACUGGAUGAUAUGUGGAAAUGUGGUGAUCAGGAGGAUUGGGAAAGGUGGUUGUUGCCAUUCAAAAAAUCACAAACAAAAGGUAGCAUGAUUCUAGUCACAACUCGGUUUCAAGCGCUAGCAGAAACAGUUAAAACAACCGGUCGUUAUAUAAAACUGGGAGGGUUAGAACCGCAAGAGUUUAGGAAGUUGUUCCUAGCAUAUAUCUUCGGUGAUGAGGAUUCUACAGAGGAUCACACUUACUUGCUCGAGACUGGAGAUAAGAUAAUAGAAAAACUAAAGGGAUCGCCUCUUGCGGCAAAAACUGUUGGUAGAUUACUGAGAGAUCACCUGGAUUUGCAUCAUUGGAAAAUGGUCCUUGAAAGUAAAGAAUGGGAGACACAAACUGGAAACCAUGACAUUAUGCCUGCCUUGAAACUUAGUUACGACUAUCUCCCUUUCGAUAUCAAACAAUGUUUUUCCUAUUCUGCAUUAUUUCCUGAGGAUUACAAGUUCCAUAGCAAACAGCUCAUUCACUUCUGGAUAGGACUCGAUAUUUUACAUUCUAGUGGCGAAACUAGAACAAAGGAAGACAUAGGUCUGAGAAAUUUAAAUUAUUUGGUCACCCAUGGUUUUUUCAGAAAAGAAGAGACCAGUGGAGAGCCAUAUUAUAUUAUCCAUGACCUACUACAUAAUUUAGCAUUGAAGAUCGCGUCUCAUGAAUGUCUUAGCUUGAAUUUUCCAAAUGUAAGAUCAAUAGGAAUUCAUCCAUGCACGCGUCACUUGUCGGUAAUUAUAGAUAUUGUAGAUUGUGAUAAAGCAAUGGCUAGUGAAAACAUCGAGACUGAACUGAGAAAACUAAAGACGAGAUUCAGCGUUGAAAAAUUGCAAACUUUGAUGGUGUUUGGAGAAAUGGAUGAAAGCAUUGCUAGUAUUUUUGGUGAUUUUCUUAGGGAAGCAAAUGCUCUCCGUGUUCUUUUCUUCUCCAAAAUGUGUAUUCCUGUUGAGUCUAUGUUACAUAACUUUUCAACACUUGUCCACCUACGAUACCUAAGUCUAGGGACCAUGCUUAAGAUGUACUUACCAGACACAAUAUCUAGAUUUUAUCAUUUAAAGAUUUUGGAUCUAGAAGAAUGGUGUGGAUAUCAUGAUGUGCCCAGAGACAUGUCCAACCUUGCAAAAUUAUGUCAUAUUCCUACACAACGUGAUGAGCUUCAUUCUUGUAUUUAUAAUGUGGGAAAAUUAAAACUCUUACAAGAGUUAAAGGCAUUUAAAGUCAACAAAGAAAAUGAAGGGUUUGAACAAAAGCAACUUGAGGAUUUGGUCGAGCUAAGGGAACUUGGCAUCUACAACCUUGAGAAAAUACAUACACAAGAAGAAGCAGCCAAAGCAAAACUGAUAAACAAAAACUACUUGCGUGUUCUAACAUUAUCUUGGGAUAGUGAGCAAACUAAUGCUAAGCCUGAGGAUGAAGGUCUGGUUCUUGAGAGUCUUCAACCACAUAGAAAUCUCCAAGAGUUGUACAUUAGAGGGAACAAAGGCCCUUCUUGUCCAACAUGGCUGGGUGAUAAGCUCGAUGUUGAAGCUCUAAAGUCUCUUCAUCUCUUUCGUGUUUCUUGGGAUGUCUUUCCUUCUUUUGGGAAGAUGUGGGAUCUCCGCGAACUAACACUCAAUCAUAUUUCCACAAUAAAGGAGUUUGGUCUAGAGGAAAGCCUCUGCAAGUUAUUAAAGAAGAUUACACUCACCGGCUUAGAAAAUUUUGAAAAAUGGGUACCACAGCCCACUCAUUUCUUCCCCCAUUUGCAAGUACUGAUUAUCAUAGAUUGCCCUAAACUCUCAGAGUUGCCAUUUUCAUGUCACAUUGUUUACCCACUGAAACAAGACUGGAACACAGAUUGGUUUCCCAAACUACAAGAGCUUAAGAUUGAAAAUUGCCCUGAAGUCUUGCUACUGCCUCCUAUCCCUUGGACCCAGUCUUUGUGCUUUGUCAAGAUAAAUGACGUGGGAUCAAAACUACUACACGAUUUGGUCUACUCAAAAUCAUCUUCUGGAGUAGCAUUGAACAUUCAUGGAAAGGAUGGUCUACUUAGCUUUGAUCAGCUGUUACUAUUCAGUCAACUAACCGAACUUCAGGAGUUGAAUAUCUAUAACUCCCCACCUUUGGAGUUGAAGUAUUUUCUAAUGCUAACCUCAUUGAAGACAUUGUUGGCAUGGUCUUCAAAUCUUGGGGUGGUGCCAUCAGAAGUUCAGAGUGGUGUCGAAUGGCAGCAUCCUGUUGACGAGAUUAAAAUUUGGUCUUCUGAUUCUAGUGGAAAGGAAUUGUCACAGUUCUUGUCUCACCUCCCAAAGCUAUCCAAACUGGAAGUAAAUUCUUGUAAAAACAUAACACAGUUGGCUGUGGGGGUGGAUUUGCAGCAAACAACAGUACCAGUAGUGUCAUCGUCAAUCUCUUUAGAUGUUAUUACAAUGGAUGAUACACAAACACAAGUGAAAGUUGAGCAGCAAGAAAUAGCAGAGGUGGAGAAGGAGGAGGCAAACACGGUGGAUGAUGAUGGGCUGUUGCUCCUCCCUGCACAUCUCUCCAACUCUCUGCAGGAGUUGGCCAUCGACAGUGGUAAUCUGGUAGUUCAUUCUUUGAAUGCCCUCAAAGCCCUAACUAGACUUGAGUUAAAAGAUUGCUCUUUUCGCCACCCUUUCCCGUCCUGCCUGCUAGACCUGGAACUUUCGUCCGUGGAGGGCGUGCUGACCCUUUCAAACCUCACCUCUCUCACUCGAUUAGAAAUAUAUCGUUGCGGAGAGGAUUUUAGAUGCGAGGGCCUGUUGCCUCUCCUUACUCGGGGCCACCUCAGCAGUUUAGAAGUCAUUGGAAGCCCCAAUUUCUUUGGUGGGUGGGAGUGGGAUCCCAAUGCCAUGUGGGGGAGGUCCUCCAAACUGCAGAAGGUCGAGACAGAUGACAUCCAGGGCUUCCUCGGUGCGCCCGCCCUCUGUAGCCUCCUCUCUUCCUCCCUCAGCGCCUUGCACUUUAGUUGGAACGAUGAGACAGCGCACUUCACAAACGAGCAGGAGGAGGCCUUUCAAUGCCUCACCUCGCUCCAGGUACUCUACUUUUGGUUUUGUCAUAAGCUGGAACACCUCCCUGCAGCGCUAAACAAGCUGACCAACCUCAAGAGAUUAGUAAUCUGCGGUUGUCCAGCCCUCCGGUCGCUGCCCAAGGACGGCCUCCCGAGUUCACUGCGAGAAUUAGAUGUCGAGGAUUGCGUCAACAAGGAGCUAACAGAGCACUGCAGGCGGCUAAUGGGAACCAUCCCGAAAAUCAGACUAUAGACCAAUCCAAGGUACGUAACAGAUAAGUACUUCCCGAUUCCCGAUUUCUACAAUUGCCCUUGCUUUUUUCAGGUCCCAAACAGGCCAUUUGCGUAUUCUGAACAUUGAUUGUUUCCAUCAAGCGUGCAGCUCGUCUCCCUGUCUCGGAAUUGUACACUCUUAUAGCCUUGUCGAAUUCCCUCCAUCUCUGGACAGUUGGCGCAUAGAUCUAUGCACAUAGAUCUGGUAAGUAAAUGCAAGAUGGAUUUUGCUAUUUUUACUUAUUUUUGUUGUUUCAUAUGUUGUAGGUUGCCAUUGUACGUUCUGUAUAUAUAUAUCUUUUCCACUUUGGAUAUAGGUAAUUCCAGCCCAAACAAAUUCAUGACACCUUUUCUAUGUGAAUUUAUAGUUACCUAUUUAUUUUAUUUGUCUGACAAAAAUUCUACCAAUUCUCUUAAUUUAAAUCACUGCUCUUGAGUGCAUAAUUUUUGUUACCAGUAUAAAUGAUCAGCACUCCAAAUAGUGUGUUUCUAGCAGAAUAAUACGCAGAAGUGAUUUUUUCCCCGCCUGUGCAACAUUAUCCUUGUUAGAGCUUAUCUUGUUUUCUUUUUGGCAUAGCACAUGACUAGUUCUUGUUUCCAUAUAUUAGAUGGCGCCUCAUGCACAGAUAACUUUAUUGAUAACCUCUAACUAGUCCACUACUAUGAUUUUAGUUGCUUUCUAUCCCUAGCCAUAUGAUGUAUUCACCAUUUGUUUUGGCAUGAUCUGCAGGUUUCCUCAUCAAAUCGACGGAUAGAGGAGCAAGGUUGAACGUGAAAUUUGUAGUCUCUUCAGUGUUAGUUCAGAGGAGCACUGGAUCUACAGGGACUUUGCAGAGAGCGGCAGUUUCAGAACAGUUCGGUUUUGAGAAAGGGCCAUUUGAGGGGUGAACAAAGUGUUAUGAUGGAACAUUUAUAGGUUGUAUAGCAGUGAUGCUCUCAGUGCUUGUUUUGGCAUUGAUUUCCGAGAACUAAGCACCAUGUUGCAUCAUCGAGGAGCUGGAACAACAGUUCAUCAGGAACUAUCCUGGAAAUCAUACUAGAGCACUAGACUAAUCCAAGGUAAAAAAGAAAAGCUUCCCUGUCUGCUCAUCCAAAUACCCAACAUUACCUUGCUUUUUAAUGCUCUCACAUAUCAAGUCAUAUUUUGGAUCGGCUUACCUCAUUACUGCAAAAUCUGAACACUGUUUUUCUAUCUACUUUACAGGAUCUCUUGCGACUUUUGAGGAGUUGUACAUUUUUUAGCCUUGUCCAGUCCUCCCUGUUUAUGCAAAGUUCGCACAUGUGGAUCUUUUUGUGGCGUCUUCUUACUGUACAUCAUACAUAAAUCUGGUAAGUACAUGUUCAACUCCUUCAAUGAUAUUAGAGAUAACUAGAUGUUUUUUCUUGAACCGAGAAAUAUAAAAAAAAUUAACUUGAUCCUCAGCUGAUGCCAUUCAGAAUUUCCUUCUCUUCCUUCAUGAAUGAUUUUAUUAUGAAUUCAAAAAUUUAUUUGUUGUGCAGGUAUUCUUAUGCUUGUUCUGGUUGGUUUCGAGAUAUUGGUCAUCAUUCACUAAAACUUGCUGGUGUACUUGUUAAGCUGUGAGGAUCAUAAUGGGGGAAUAACUGAUAUUUUGCUGAUUUGCUAUUGAAACUAAGGUGUGCAGUUUCUUCAGUUCGAUGCUAUAUUGAUAGGAUAGGAGAUGUACCUGCAUUUUUCAUAAGAUUUGUUGCUAAAUGAAAUUUUGUUAAUUACAGGAACUUUUUACAAUAAUACUUUUCUUACCAUGUGAGUGCUUGCGUGGAGCAGAUUGAGAUCUCGGGCUUUCACUAAAUGGUAUGCCUUGUCUAUUCACACUCUUACAAAAGUAUAAAAGGACUCGUGUAUUUGUCCUACGUUCCGAACUUUUUAGACUGAACUAAGCUUCUUGGUUGCUCAAUAGACGUGGUCGGUGGACAACUGGGAAUUCAACAAUGCAGCGGUAGCAGAUUUGUGGAAAGGUCAGUAAACCCCUGCUGAAAUUCGUGAUGGGUUUAGCUAUGGUAGAUUGAAUUCAGUGUGCAAUUGUCGAACUCUUAUUGCCUCGUGAGACCUAGGUUAGAGAACUUCCUGCUUUCUUGAUAAGUUAGCAGUCUAGCUUUUGAGCACGCUCAUAAUCUCUGAAUGCAUUGUCAUGCUGAAUUAAGUUACACAAGAGAGUUUUCAGCUGAUACAUAUAGUUGUAAAGGUAGAGAACACUUGUUACUAGGUGAUUGAUGAAAAAGGCUCGAGCUUGCUAAUUUUUAUUCCUAGAACCUCCGGAGUAUUUUUCUGUCCCACCAAUGCCAAAAAUAGCAUAUUUCAUUAGCCAUUGACUAUUGCAAUCUGAAUUUUUAGUGCGUAUUGUUAAGUUUGAUGUUCCUCCAGUCUGAAGUCUUUGAAAUCCAGUCAUUCCAUCAUCGGGAUAUCACAACCUCUGCCAGUGUACAUAUACAAAUCCCAGAAAAUAAUCCAUUCCUUCCAUUGCACAUCUCUCGCUAUCCCACAGUAGUUGAUUAUUCCAUAAGCAUACUCAUCAAGUUAAAGAAGACUCAAAAGCACUUUGUUGUCAUUGACCUUGCAAAUUUCAACAUUAUGAGGAGCUAUAUAUUCGUCAAUAUUGAUGCCUCUCUCCAAAAAAUCAAAAAAUAAAUGAAAGAAAAAGAGUGAGGGUCACCGUUCAAAAGAUCAAAGGUUCACCCCCAAGCAGGAAGAAAUAGUCAGCACUGCUUCCAUAUUCAUGUGCAGAAUGCAGAAUGGCUAAUCAAACUACUACCUAUGCAAUAUUGACAGCUUGAGCAUCAGUCGCAUCCUGAGAUCACCUUGCAUUGCGUAGGCAUCUCAAUUAUUUCUUUGGCGUGAGUCCAUCCCUCCCACAUCCCCUGGACAGUGGACGCUACCUUUCCCCAAUGACUGGAAUGUGGAGACUUCUUUGUACUGGAGUUGAACUCUUAUUUAGCUUUACAAUCUAGAGUUCAGAUUUGCUCAUUCUUUGAAUUACCCAACCAAGCUCCAUAUAAGCUUUCCACAAAUAUAAAGUAGAUACAAAACACUUCGGCCACUGGCCAGUGAGGACUAUCAUUAUGUGAUGAGAGUAAUUCCGGAUCAUGACGAGGUAAUCUCACUAGAUACCUGCUCUUCGAAGGUUCAGAAUGGAAUAAAAUUGUUGGCUGCUCUUGUGCUCUUUUGUUCUUCAAAUUGAAGUCAAACAUCGUAGUGACUUGUGUUCAAAAACUGGAUUACUAUAUCGUUGAUGCUGUUCACUCUCAUAAAAUGGAACAUAUUCCGUACUGGCAAUGAAUAGGAGUUAUUAUUUAAGCUUGUGCUCAAUUGUUAGCCUGCUUCUUUGAUAAGUCUGUGGGAAGUGUCUCUGUCUGAAGCUCAUGAGGAUUAUAGUAAUUGUUUGCACAUGAGCACUUGUUUGCAAUCUAGCUAUGCUAAUCUUUCAGGUAGUAUUUCACAAGCAUGCGGGCAAGUUGAAUCAGGAGCCUAAAUCAUCUGGCUGCCAUUGGCUGCGAUCCGAGACUCUUCUUUCUCAAGGGAAGAAUCAGAAAGGGAGAAGACUGAGAUGAAUCAUACCCAUCCUUUUGUUUAUCUUUGUAGCUACUUGCUUCAUAACAAUGUUAUAAGGAGGAGAGAAUGGGGUUUCCCACUUAUUAUUUCUCUUCUAGCUUCAGUCUGUAGUAGCUAUCGAUGAAUGGUACGAAAACAGGCCAAAUUUUUCAUUCAUUCUUUUCAGUGUGGACAUCUAUAUUCAGUAUAAUGUGCAAUAUCUUCAUAUCUGAAUCUAUGCUUGCAUGUCACAGUGGUUACCUGUGCUAAAAUAUAAAUAAUGCCCCUGUUAUUGUUCAUUGCAAAAGCUUGGCCUUUCUUGGUCUCUUUGGAUAUCCAAUUGCCUCUCAAGAACUGUGUUGGUGUAUGUUGGAUUAUUCACCCUGUUUUCUCUCUCUGAGAAAUGGAUCGUCCGAUCUAAUUUUAGCAGCACAAGAAAAUAUAAGAUGUGAUUUUUGAAUGUAUAACUAAUUGGUAUGUCAGUAUGUGUUUUGACUUGCAAUGGAUUAUGAUGGAUCUCUCCAUAAGAGAUUCUUAUCCACGGCGAUCUCUUCUUCUGAAGUUAAAAGUGGAGAGUUUUGGGGCAUUGAUCUCUAGCACUUCACAUAUCUGUCACCUGAAGGUUAUGGAGCUGUUGCUGCAUUGAGCUACUCAUCUUUGACUUGACGCAGAUUGUAAAUCAUGCCAACAGAAAAACUACCGCAUGCAUUGCUAUUUUCUUUUUUUUUGCAAGUGGUAUGCAUUUUUGUUAGAUGUGUCUCUGCAAUUGGUAAAGCAAAAGCAUGAAGAAGUUGUAUACGUCACCAGGGUUGUUCAACUCAUCCUCUCUGAUCUAACUCUGAGGCACCAUCUCUUGCCGUGUUUGUGUGUCCUUUUUCUAGAACAACGGUGUGUUUGUGACGCUCUUUUUGUUUUUUGAGGGGUCUCCUAUGUGACAUUAACAAUCACGUAGUCAAGCGAGCGACGCACACAGCGCUUCCAUCAUUGGCCGGCAUGUGUGCUCUAUUUCAUAGGUAAGGUUUUUUUUCAUAAAAACAUGACUCUUUUUAAAAAAUGAAUAAAUUUUAAAAUAACUUUAAAUAUUUCUAAAAAGUGUGGGAAUAGUUAAAAAAAUUACUUGACCAUUUCGAAAAUUAUGCAAAUAUCUUUUUGAAAUUACAAAUACUUUUAAAAUUUUGUGAAUAAUUUAACAAAUAACNUCAGGGAAAAAAUUAUAUUCCUAAAAGUUUACUUCUUAAAAAUAAAAAUGAAAAUGACAACAACAUAAAAUUAUAUCAAAUCAAAUAUAAUAAGUGGAAGAUAAAACAAGAAAGUGAAAAAAAAUUAAAGAAGGGAAACCACGAAAACCACUCAGAAAACUACUAGCGAAAAGUGUCAUAUUGCCUUAGAGAGCGCCUAUUUUACGCUUCUAGCGACAAGUUGUUGCUAUAGUACAUGAUCACUACCAUGGGCCAACCCAUUAGCUUUCCUGUGUUACUCCUUGCUUAGAAAAAGUAAGCUCUCACUCGUAGAGAAAAGACCUGUUAAAAACCGGUUGGUGGGUCCUAUUUCUCUUUAUGAAAUGUAAAUAUUUAUAUGUUGAUAUAAUAUUGGUCGUGAUAAACUUCAAGAUACAAAUAUUGAGAGCUCCUUAGAAAUAAUAAUUAGGUAGAAGUACCUUAAGGCGAUUUGCAAUAAUUUUGGAGGCUACAUGCAAGACUAGACUCACACCUAUGUGGAAUGGAUGCCUCGACUUGGUCAUCAUGGACCAGCAAGUCCAUUUGAGAGAUUUUUUUAGUAAUACAGCUUAUCCGAGUGAGUUUUAUGGACUCGUCGGGCGAGAAGCUUCUCAAGCACAAGCAUUUGCUUUUCUAGUUAGAGACCAAGAAAAGGGAUUAAUAAUCCUACAACUAGAACCAAUUAGUGAACUUUAUGAUCAAAGACUGAAAAUGGAAUGACCCAAUGCCAAUUUAUUGGAAUUCUACAUGGCAUAUUUCCUAACCUUCAUUCUUGCUAUUCCAGUCUCUAGUGCUCACUCAAUGACCUAUUGCCCACUCUGCUUUUCCACGUGGGCUAAGAGAGGCUACGUGAGGCUAAGAAGAGUGUUCCCCCUUCAUAAGUGAAAGUUGAAAUGCAGUAUAUGGUCUAGAUAUAACAUCCCCUUUAAUGAAUUCCUUUAUGGUCAAGAUAAAUAGGUAAAGCUAGCUUUGAAGGUAAAUUCAAAAGGCAAGUAAGAAGUCAUAGGAAUGUUCGAAAAGAUGGCUGACAUAACAAGCCAUUGAGACUCCUUUUGAAGGCUUAUUCCAUCAAGUUAUGUAAAUGAGGUGUUAUCGAUUUCCAUAGGGUACUUUUUCUUUGAGAAACUACAUAGGUUUUAGGCUUUUCAAACAAGGAAAGUCCUAUAAUACGCACAUUGUGUUAAAUUGUCGUUAUUUCGCACAGAAGGGAGGGAACGAGUAAAGUAAAUGGGCUGGCCCAAUUCGGUGUACUAUAUAUGCAUCCUAUUGUUAUCUUUACCAGUUUUCUUUUUGUUACUUUGUUAUUUCACAUUUUAUUUUAUUUUAAACUCAGACGACCUUCAACNAUUUCAAAGAGCGACCACAUGUGCUAGAAGUCAACAAUUUGACGCAAAGAGCGACAAAUAGAGGAGCUUCUGUUUAACAUGUAGAGUGUUUAAUAGAAAGCAAUAGCUCACCUCACAUAUGUGGUGGGCCGACCCAAUGGACAAAUUUUAUUCAGUUCGAGUAUAGUUGUUGCUGCUAAUGCUACACUACUAAUUCAUGGGCUUUUUAAAAAUGAUCAAAACCCCUCUUUAUUACUUUGUGAUCAGAGUUACAUCGGUUCACCAGGAGAGAAUAAUUGAGCUCGCUAGGAGCUCCUCAAACAAACUACUACAUGCCGCCCCUUUGGCCAAAUAUGCUAGCUCGUGAGCUACAUUAUUGGCCUCCCUCGGGAAGUGUACAAAAGAUGUACAAGGGAAUUCACAUGCCGUGUGAUAGUAGUCGUAAAAAAUGGCGACUUGGAGACCAGCCUCCUUCACUCAUUGUAUUAAUAACCACCAUAUCAUCUAAGUUCACCAUGAUUUUAUUAUAGUCAUCUGAUUGUGCAAGGGAGAAUCCAUAACACAACGCAGUUACUUUCACAGAGAGUACAUCGGGACAAAAACUAAGCUUCCAGUUGCUUGCGUUUUUUAAGUUUACCUUAUCAUCAUGUGGAAUUGCAUGAUCUAUUGCAAUGAGAAGAUCAUGAUCAAAGGAUGCAUAUAUGUUUAGCUUCACGUGUCCCCUAGGAGGCGGCACCCAACAUCCCAAUUUCUGGACAACUUCCAGUACAACUGCACAUGUGUAAUUUGUAGUCAAAGUCCGAAUGGCGGAAGAAAUCUAAAUGACAUUUUGAAUCGGAUCCCCACAGCCACAUUGUAUCAUCUCCCUCCAUAAGUACCAACAAGCAAUAGCUAUCAUUUCGUGCAGGUUUUGUCAGACUAGACUGUCACAUUCCCGUUCUCGCAACUCAAGAAGGAUUCCAAGAACACAUUCACCUUCCUUAUCAAUUCAGGGACUUCGUAUGCUAGAUGGAACACAAGGCAGAAGGCAAUUCCCGAAGAGAUUUUUCAGAGCCACUCUCAACACAUUGCUGCAUUGGGUCUUUUAUAUCUAAGCUUCAAGGUAGGGAUAAAAAUGGAUCGGGAACUUUUCGCUUUUUGGUAGAAAAUGUAGAGAGGAAAUAUGAAAACAAUUUUUUUAAUGCAGAAACGAAAAAAAAA